CCAGUUGGAUACAAGAACUUUGAUGCGGUCAAGCGAGCGCAGAGGGUUAGGGGAGAUGGAUUGAAAGAUAGUUUUGUUUCGCUCAUUCCAGACGAUCUACCAAAUUGCUGUCAAUUAGGAUAGUCUCUUCCUUCUUGUUUCGCUGUUUCCUUGGUUGGAAAUUGUAUCCCAGAGGACUCGGGCUGUUUGCUGUGGGUAGAGAUGUCAACGGGUCGGAUUCGGGGCGGGUUUGUAAAAACCCGAACCCGAACCCGACUCCAAACCCGAGACCCGAACCCGAACCCGAACCCGACGGAUUUUAAAAAUCCAUAUCCAAAUCCGAACCCGACCAAAAAUCCGAAACCCGAACCCGAACCCGAACUCGAAAAUUUGAACCCGAAACAAUUAUUUCUUUUUUCAAUAUUUCAAAAUAGAUUAUAUUAAAUCUAAAUUUUUAAAAUACAAAUUUAAAUAUAACAUCAAAUUUUUAUAUAUAUAUUAUAUAUAAUACAAAAUAAAUUCGGGUUCGGGUCGGGUUCGGGUUCGGGUCGGAUACAAUCAAAAUCCAUAUCCGAAUCCAUAUCCGUCGGGUUUCUAUUUUUGAUAUCCAUAUCCGAAUCCAUAUCCAUAUCCAUCGGAUAUAUCCGUUUCAUUCGGGUUCGGGUUCGGAUAAAAUUUCGGGUAUCCAUACCCAUUGACAUCCCUAGCUGUGGGUCGGCUAGCAGGACCGGAUCUUCAGUGUUGAAGAGUAGGUAUUUUACGUACACACAGUUUCGGAAGAAGUGGUCACGCGUUUCGGGCGUUGCUUGGCCUUUGAUCAAGCAAACGAGAAAAAGCAACCAUUGACAAGUACUGUUUGAAGAAACGGAUCAUUGCAAACUCGAGGAGCUUAACAGCUACGUUUUAGUCAGCGGAUAUCUAGAAGAACUUUUCCCAUUUUGUCCUUUUCCCAAGGUAGUAACUAAAAUUUUGUCAACCAAAAAACCAAAAGUUAGGAAUUUAUAAAUAAAAGAUUUUGACUCCAUUUUUUCUAAAAAAAAAAUUAUGCACGUUCCUAGAUAGUAAUACUUUGUUGACGAAUCAAUGUACAUAAUAAUGAUUCAUGAAGGGAUUUACUAUAAAUGAUUAUCAUUAAUGUUCUUAUUUCUUACAGUUUAAUCUUAAAAAUUCUCAUUUUACAUAUUCAUUAAUCCAAUUUUAGAAGGGUAAUUGCGUUGAAGGUAUCUUAAGGAACGCCCUAUAUUUUUCAAUAUUCCGUCUUGUAGUAUACAAAUGAAAUUGGACAUGACGCAUCGUACUACCAUUAUUCCUAAGUUUUUUAAGAUGGUACCUGUAGCAGUAGUAACUAGUAAGAUACCGUAAAGAGAAUAAGUCUUUGUUUAAUUAUUUGGUUAGCAUAAGUAAUAAGCCUAUGUUGACACCUUAUUGAUUUGAGCUCAUAUAAAAUUGCAUCUCCACUUCAAGUUUUUGCGGGUAGGUGAGGUAGUUUAGUAGCUUCUAAAGUUUUCAACUUAAAAAUAGUUUUGAAUUGAGAGAGUCCAACAUACGAAUGCUAUUGUAUAUAUAUCAGUUAUUAAAAAGAAUAAAAAAUGUGAUUUACCCGUAACCAUCAGGAGUCAAACUUAUCACUUUCCUCGGUCAACACGCGCCACCUCCGCCACUACUCAAUCUCCCUCAAUCUCCAAACUCCUCUUCUCGUUCUCCCUCCGCAGAACCCCUCCUCUCUCCUUCGCCGAUUCCCGUCACCUCCCUGUACCCGGUCAGGAUGAUGCUCCGGCGGUGCGGUUACCGCUUCUUCGUCGUCGUCGUCGCCAUCGUCGUCCUCCUCGUGGUCGCCGCGGCGCUGUCAGAGGCGAGUGGGGGGAACGCGACGUGUCCUUACGACAUCGCGGAGGCGUCGGGGAUGAUCCCGGCGGCGUGCUACGCCAACGCGACCAACGCCGCCGCGUCGGCGGCCACGAGCUGCUGCUGGUUCGUCGUGGGCUCCUACAUCUUCGCGGCGGCGCGCUACGCCAACCUCUCCGGCGCCGCCUUCCUCCCCGCAGCCGACUCCUCCGCCUGCUCCUCCGCCUUCUCCUCCUUCCUCCUCGGCAGCGGCCUCGCCUCCCCCUCCCUCUUCAACGGCUCCUGCGACCUCUCCUCCUCCUCCUCCUCCACCGGCGGCGGCGGAGACCUCGCCGCGGGGGCGCGGCCGUGCCAGUACGCGUCGGUCUCGGAGCUCCGCGCCGCCGCGCCAGCGGCGCUCGACAACGCCACCGCGCUCUGCGCCGGACCCUCCGCCUCCCCCGACCUCGUGGCGGACCAGGCCGGGUGCGCCGCGUGCCAGACCGCCGUGAUCGGCCUCACCUUCGCCCUCCUCGGCGCCGCCGGCCCGAGCGCCGAGCCCGUCCCCUGCGGCAUGGCCGCCACCAUCGGGGUCUGGUCCCGCUCCCGGCCCUCCCUCCCCCGCUUCCGCUCCUACGCCCUCUGCAUGGUGCAGGUCCUCGAGAACGUCAACACCCUCGGCGGGGGCGACUUCGUCCCCUCCCCUCCCCCUCCCCCUACCCCUCCCCAUACCGCCUCCUCCAGGUCCGUCAAGAUCGCCGCCGGAUCCGCCGCCGCGGCCCUGGCCUCCGUGGCGGCGAUCGUCCUCCUCUCCAUCUCCAUCUACAGCGCUCACCGCCGGAGAUCCUCCGUCGCCGACGAUCAGGCCCCGGCGGCCGGGGCGGCGCCGGUCCUCCCGACCGACGGGCUGUACAUCUUCACCGAGGCCGAGCUGCAGCAGGCGACCGAGGGCUACGACGACCGGCUCCUCCUCGGCGAGGGCGGCGCGGGCAAGGUGUACCUCGGGAGGCUCCCCAGCGGGCAGCACGUGGCGAUCAAGCGCAUCUACCGCGACCGCAAGAUCGCCGAGUUCUACCGCGAGGUCGAGAUCCUCGCCAAGCUCCGCCACCGGAACCUCACCACCCUCCUCGGCUACUGCGCCGCCGGCCGCGGCCGCCACGUGGCGCUCGUCUACGAGUACAUGGCGGGCGGGAACCUCUCCCGCGCGCUGUUCGGCGGGGAGCUGGCGUGGCGGCGGCGCCUCCGGAUCGCCGCGGACGUGGCGGAGGGGCUGGUGUACCUCCACGAGUUCCCCGAGGGCGCCGUCGUGCACCGCGACGUCAAGCCCACCAACGUCCUGCUCUCCGCCGCCGCCGCCGACGCCGCCGCGAAGCUGUCGGACUUCGGGGUGUCGAGGAUGGUGCCGCACGAGGGGACCCACGUGUCCACGGAGGUGCGGGGCACGAUGGGCUACGUCGACCCGGAGAGCUUCUGCGUCGGCCACGUGUCGGAGGCCGCCGACGUGUACAGCUUCGGGGUGGUGCUGCUGGAGCUCGUCACGGGGAUGCGCGCGGUGGUCCCCACGCCCUCGGGCGGGGCCGAGUCCAUCGUCCACGCCGCGCACGCCGCGGUCCAGCACUUUCGCGCGGGAUCGGACGGCGCCGACGACGCGGAGGAGGGGGCGGUGGGCUCCAUCGUGGACCCGCGCCUCGGCGCGGGGUGGGACCGCGCGUCCGUGGCCGCGGUGUUCCGCCUCGCCUGCCGCUGCGUGCGCCCGUACAAGAACGAGCGCCCCCGCAUGGCCGAGGUGCUCGCCGCGCUCAAGGCCACGCUCGCGGAUCUCGAGGCGAGGUCCGAAGGCCGCGCCGCCGCCGCCGCCGCAUCGGAGCCGUCCGUCACCGAUGAGUCGUCGUCGUCGUCGUCGUCGGCGCCCUCGGCGUCGCGCACCUCCACGGCCUCGGCGCACGGGUGGUCGUCGUGAUGUAAUCCGACGGGCCCGAUCGACCCCACGCAGGUUGACGGCUUUUGCUUUUUUUUUUUUAAUUAAAAAAAAAAGAAAAUAUUUAUUUUUUACUUCGUAUAUCAUCAUCGGCGACGGCGAUUCGAGCUCGACCGCGUGAUUUUGGCGUGUAGCGGAGUUCUGCUGACGUGGCAGGGCCGCACGCGGUAUAGAAAGCUCGGCCCCCGUCCGUUUACUCGAUCAUCUGUGUCCGUACAACCAUGAGUGGGGCCGGGGCCUGGGCCUUGGCCCUUGGGGGAGUUAAAGAAAGAGAUUCGACUUGUAAGUUGUAAAUUGAUAUAAUAAUAAUAAUUAUUAUAAGAAUUAAGCGAGUAAAUUGUAAUAAUAUUGUUAUUAGAACAUAUUUAAAUGUAGCGGCUCAAGGAUCUAAUGGAAACUGGUAUCAGCUACAUAGUAACACGUAUAAACAAUGAUAAAUGUAUUAUAAAUGUUGCUACUUGAUUGAUCUGCUAAGAAACCCAUUUUGGAAUGUUAUCAAUCAUCCAGUGAGUGCAUAUAACAUGAUAUAUAAAUUAUAAAUUAUAAAUUAUUAUUCAGUAUUUGAAAAAAGUAUAGAAAUGCAGAGAACUAUUCUUCAGAAUUCCAAAAAUACGUGCUACAUAUAACUGGUACAAAACUAUACUAAAAAAGAGUCAUAAAACAAGCUUGAUUUUGUGAUCUUGUAUAAGAUAGAAGAUGUGUGCUUUGUCACCGUUCUAACUAACGAAGAACAUCGACGCAUUAAAUUUUAACUGCUGAUAAAUAUAUACAUGUAUAUAUAGGACGAAUUCAAGGGAGUGAUCGAUCACUGGAUUAAUUAUAUCCUUUCUCCAAUUCAGUGUCCCUAUCAUUUCAUUCAUAGCUAAUAUUUAAUAUCUAGCUAUUACACUGGUAGUUGGUAGUUGUACAAGUAUACAUAUCAUUCCCUACACUUUCUCUAUUAUAUGUUAAUUUUGGUGUGACAUUAACUUAAUAAAUGUUUUGCACCACCCAAAUUAACCUCCAACAACAUUAGUCUUUUUCGGAUCAAUUGGUGGGCCUUUUAAUUGAUGCCAACCCCUGUAUUUUGUCUUAAUUAAAGUUGCGGUCCUCAAAGAAGGACAAGUCAUGCUCAUAAAUUGGUCACAAAUUGUAUACAAAAUUGACAUAGUUUUCCUCGUAAUGGUUACUAAAAAUUAGGUUUUUUAUCGUACGUAAUUAGGAGACUUGGAAUAUGUAGGAUGACGCAAUACGGGAUAUUACUUUUUUUUUUGAGAAAAAGAUAGCAUGCUAUACGCUUCGUUCAUCUCUUUUAGAAAUAAAUUUAGCUGAAAAUAUAAAUUAAUUAUAAUUCAAACUUGAAACUUAAAUUUAGCUGAAAAUAUAAAUUAAUUAUAAUUCACACUUGAAACCUCGGGAAUCAAUCACCAAAUUUUUUUGUCACUUGCACUAGGGACGGUCAGUUGAGGCAAUUUAUGUUGGUUACAAAACAAAAACAAUUUUUGUUGUUUACCAAACAAAAACAAAGAAAAAGCGAGAAAGAGGAUGAAAAGGAGAGGCAAGAGAAAAAAAGAAAGAAAGGGGGGGAGAAAAAUUUAAUAAGCAGAUCACGUUAGUUGAGAAUAGUCGAAUAAAGAAAUUACAAUAAUUUAAAAUAAAAAAGAAGAUAAGAGAAGUUGUUUUCAAUGAGGUUUUACUACUAGAGGUAAUGGUAUUUUGAUUGAUUUGCUAUAGCUUAUAAGAGGAAUUACACGAAAAACUGUAGGGCCUGCACAAGGACGCAUUGGAUGAGGAUUUAUCUAGAAAGUUACAGCUAUUUAAACUUAAAAAAAAAUAUUACUUUGUAAAUAUUAACCAAUUUUACUUCUAAAAAAAUUUUAGUUUAAUUUUAUGAAGUUCGAAUAUUUAUAUUUAAAACAGUUGCUUUCUUAAACAAAGAAUUGACUAAUUUUUGAGAAAAAUAAGUGGUCAAAAUUUAGUUGGUUUGUGGGAUGUUAAAAAAAAAGAAAAAAGAAAGAAAGAGUUGAGAAGAAUUAAAUUAAAAUAUGUGGUAGUAGGAAAUUAAAAGAAAGUGAAAAAUACUGUCAGAAGUGGGAUUUGAACCCACGCCCUCUCACGAGGACCAGAACUUGAGUCUGGCGCCUUAGACCACUCGGCCAUCCUGACCCAUUUUGUUAAUUUCAUUUAAAGAUUUUAUUUAAACUAUAAAAUUUAGAAUUGGUAAAUUUAAAUUUAAACUAUUAGAGGCCAUUAAAGUAUAUAAAAUUUAGAUUUAAACAAAAUUAGAGGCUAAAUUUAAAUUAACAUCUUACGGUUUCAGUGAAAGUUUAUUAAGAUUCACGUCUAUUAAGCUAUUAGCCAUUCAUAUCUAGUAAUAUCUAUUACUACUCUAUAAGCUAUAAUAUUUAACUUAUUCAUUAUUCAAUUUGACAACUUACUCAAUAUAAACUUGCUUAAAUGAACAAGUUAAUAGUUGAUUAAUUUGUAGGGGUGCCAACGAAAAGGAAAAUAUUUGUAGGGCUUCAGUUUAAGAAAGUUAUAGUUGAGGGGGUUUUUGUACAUUUUUACGUAUUUUAUGGUUCACCACGUCAUCGGAAUCCAGGAAAAAAAAGGACACUACCACCUUCGCCACGUGUCAUACUCGGGUUAGCUCAUGUUUCGUAGACCCGGUUCAUCCUUAAUUCUGUUUAUCUUUUCGGUGUAGAGAAAGCUCCCUUUGUUCUUUUUUAUCAAAUCCAUUUUCCCAACAAAAACCAAAAAAAGGCCCACAAAGUUAAGGCGAUUCCCCAAUCGAAACCCUAGAUCUCACUUCCCAAUCCCUCUACUCGAUCCAUCCGUUUCCUUCUCCCCCUAUCGGUUUCGAUUCGCUCUUCGGUUCAGCGUGCACAUCGCAAUCGUAUUCGGUUCUUUUCAGCUUCCGAUCGAGGGUUUCGGCACUCUCAGUAGAUCGAUUGGGGGCCAAUUUGUGAGAGGUAAGAGGAAUCUCGUAAUCACAGUUGGAUUUGAUGGGAUGUAGUGUUCUAGAUCCGUUUAUGCUUCUGCUUCGUAGGUUUAGGUCACAAAUGGUGUGAACUUUUUAGGUCGAAAUGUACGGACGUUGUGCACUACAGAGCAAUUUGAAAUCGGUACUUGAACUUUUAGAAGUUUUGAUUUUACUUUCUGAAUUUUAAUGUUUUGAUUGUGUUUGCUUACAUUUUGAAGGAAUAUUCUGUAAACUAUCGAGAUCUUCUGCUACUUGUUGGAAUAUUGGGGAGAAAUUGCUACAAAUGCUGUUAGGUCUUAGGUAGUAGAAUCAGAUUAAAUUUUAUAUGCUUAUUUUGUAAAUUCUGUAACUUUAGAUAGUUAAAUCUGAUUUUGAAACUUCGGGAGGUCCUAUUGCAUCUAUGUUCAUGUUUGAUAAAUUCAAACGCAUAUUAAAAUGUUCAUGUUUGAUAAAUUCAAACGCAUAUUAAAAUGUUCAUGUUUGAUAAAUUCAAACGCAUAUUAAAAUGGUAGGAAUAAAUAACUUACAAACACAAGUAGUGUCAUGACAGUUCAUACAAAUAUUAUUAGAUGUCUCUUGUCAAUGAUUGUCUUUGUGGAAAUUUGGAGCAAAUUCAAAUGGAAUAUGGUGAGGUUAAAAGCUCGCAGAAGUGUUUAUCAAGAUUUUUUGGUUUAUUGAUUUUAAAGUUCAUUUCGUGUAAAUGUUAUUUCCCUGAAACGGCGGAGAUCAAGAACAGUCAAGUUGAUAAUUAUUUUGGAUUAUCUGAUGAUAAUUUCUGAACAUUUUAGCUCAAUAGGAAAAUUGAUCCUUUCUGUUCUUUGUAGUGGUGAGUGCCUAGUGCAUUUAUCUUGUUUUCUCUUCUUUCUUGUUUAGAUGGUUUUUUAUGUUUGUAGUUGUUAAACCUUUUUGUGAGGGCAAAUAAGUUGUAGUUAUUGGCUAUUUCACUUAUUAGAGUUGUAGUUGGUUCAAAUUUCAAUCUGCAACUUUCUUAUUAACUAUUACUUACAUGAGGUUAGAAGUUUAUAAAUUUGCAGAAGUUCUCAUCAAAAGAGGGGAAAAAAAACAAAAGGCAAUCAGGGGACUAAUAUGCUUGAAAGGUGAAACUGUGGUUUCCCUGCUAUUAUAUGCAGACUAUAGAAAACUUGGUUUUCUCCUUUCGUUUUUCAGGUUUCCUUCUUUACAUCCCUUUCUUGAGUUGUUGUAUAACUUCUUAACUAGUUAGCUUGGAACGGGUAAUCCUACUUUUGUUCAUAUCCUUUUUCCCUUUAUUUUAUGUCCCGUUCUUCAUCAUAUUUGCUUAAUGCACUCAUUUUCGUACAUCACCUAGAUGGAUGCUGAUGCCGAAAACCUUUAUGGAGCACAAUGCUUGGUUUGCAGAAGGCCUUUUUCUCUGGAAACAGAAAUAAACGAUGGUUUUGAAGCAAUAAAUAUCUGCAGGGAGUGUAAAAUGAUUGUUCUCAACAGUCCUAAUAGAGAUGUUUCUAUUAGAGAUAUUCGUCGAAGAAGGCGGCUAAGAAGAAGAAGAGCAUUGAGAUAUGGAAGCUCCAAUUCAGUGGACAGUGAUUCAUUUUCACAAAGGUUCUCCCAUUUGAUUAAUUUGGCAAGCCAAAGCCAUGAGACAGAUUCUACUCCAAACCGUUCUAGAGGGUGGCAGAGUACAAUCUCCGACAACGAGAGUGAUUCUGUGUUCGGUGAGAGUGAAUCGAACCUCAGUUUCAGUAACUAUGGAGGAGAAUCAGAUACUUCGAUCGAUCAGAAUAGUUUAAUGUACUUCCAACUUGAAAAUGAAAGCUAUGUAUACACUGAUACAGAUAUUGAUCCAAUGCAUGCCGGCUUGGAUCAGUGGAAUUCGGACGACCAAGAUGAAGAAGAAGAUGGGGGGGAUUGGGAUGAUAGAGAAAGCCCUAAUGGCAUUGUAGAGAGAGAAAGUCAAAAUCAAGAUGGUGCUCUUGUUCAUCGGAGGAUGAGGGGGGCUUUCGAAAUGGGUACACAUUAUGCCGACCUGUUUGUCGACUUCGAGGACUUUGAAUUGGAGAUUAGACCAGCAGGUUUCACUGCAGAUCCAGGUGACUAUGUAGACCCUGCACGGUUCGAGGAGCUUCUAGAACAAUUUGCGGAGAAUGAUGCGUCGAGAAGAGGGGCGCCGCCGGCUAGUGCUUCAGUCCUGCUGAAUCUUCCUUCCGUGGUUAUAUCAAAGAGCCACGAAAAGGACGGUAGCUUAAUUUGCCCAGUUUGCAAGGACCCAUUGCCGAUAAACACUGAAGCAAAACAGCUUCCUUGUCUGCACCUCUACCACCCAUCGUGCAUAUUACCAUGGUUAAGUUCAAGAAAUACAUGCCCCGUUUGCCGUUAUGAGCUCCCCACUGACGACAUUGAAUAUGAGAUGGCCAAGACAGAGCUACUGAGCAGGAAUUUGGCCGAGGAGAGUUCUUAUAAUAGAUCUAAUGAUGUGGAGGUCAAUGAAACUCAUGAUAAUAGUAAUGACAGAAUCGCCAGUAGAAUGGCGGAGAGUAGAGGGGAGGCCAGCGGCGACCAAGUCGGGGUUAGAUCGAAUGGCCGGGAUCGGAGAGGCGGCGGGUGGUUGUUUUUAGCUGCAGCUCCGAUAGUUAGUCUUGUCGGUAUCGUUCUAGUAUUGUGGUUCAAGAACCCUCAUGGUAAUAAUAACAGAAGUCGGUGCGACGCUAGAGAACAGGCGCAGGCGGGAAGGCAACUUAGUGGAGCUCAGAGCUCCGUCGCUCGCGGAGAUAGAAAGAGAAGAUGGUGGUCUUUCUUUUAGGUGAUUUGCUUGUUUUUUAUGCUCUUUUAAUCUUCUGAUUGCUUUUUCGUUGCUGGUGUUCUCUUUCGUAUGGUGACUGUUUAAAUAAGUUUCAACUUCGACCUUUGGGAAAUUGCUAAGGUGAGCGUCCUCUCAACUACUGUUUGCAUCGUAUUGUGUAUACUGGGGUUGUGGUGCGAUGGUAAACAAUCUCACUAGAAAACACGGCUGAAAAGAGAGAAUCCUCACCAAAGGCCAAACCUUUGUUUCUUACGUACUUUUAUUACCUCUUAUCCUAAAUCUAGUGCUCCCUAAGAGUGGUUGGAGUACGCUUUUUAUUUUUUAUCUUUUAUUUUCUGCUUAAUCUCUAAGCAACUGAAUGUGAUUGAUUGUGUGUCAUUAUAAAAUUUCAUCUGAUUGAAUGUGUCUGUAGUUAAGAGUUUUGUACUGUUCUUAUUAUUGCCGAUUAGCCUACAUAUAUUUUCACAAAAGCAAGUUAGCUAACAUGGAAUUCGACAUCCAGAGCCAGAUCCUGUCUAUUACAGGCGACUGAGAUUGAUUCCGUCUUUUAUGGACGGUUAAUGCAUUCCCUGCUCAUCAUCGAGGGCACGGUAGGUGCAACCUUCUGUGCAGAAAAUAGGUGCAACCUUCUGUGCAGAAAAUUUUUAUGAGCGGAAUGAUCUCGCUCUUGACGAGUAGAUAUGAGCAGAUAAAAUGUAUUUCGUCAAUGAUGAGCUGUAAAAUUAUUUGUAGCGUCGACGACGUCGGUCAAUCGCCUAAGGAAAUUUCCGAGAAGUAGUUGCCUCAAUAAUGGACUCCACAUGUUCUGGUUGUACCGAUUUCGGUGCGUCCAGGACAACAGAUGAUUUACGGUACGAUACUGCAAGAUCCUGUACGUACAGUACUAUCCAGCUCGAAUCUGGGCCACACAACGCAAAAUGCGCUGGGCCCUCGAUCUGCCACGUGGCGACAGGAUACCGACAAAGAUCUCCACGGACGGACGGACGUCGCUGCACCUUCACUUCACUUCGCGUCCACUCCACUCGACGUCUCGACUCUCGACCGCUCCACCUUCCCACAUCGAUGCCCUUUUCGAAGUUCGAACCACUACCAUUUAAUUAAUCCUUGACCGUCCACUCACCGGAUCCAGCCAAAGAUCGACCGUCCUUUUUGGCGUGUAUCAACUAUCCUCAUAAUCGAUGUGGUAAUAAUUUAUCAUCAGUAGGAUGGAAUACGUUUUUAAUAAAUUUUUAGUAGUGACAGUUUUGGAGGGGAUCCGGCCUAUGAAUUUGAGGAUGAUGUGACGAUCGUUUGGAAUAAUUGGAUGUCGAGAUAAAGAAUAUGCGGACCCGUUUGCAGCAUACAAUAUGAUCAUAUAUUUGAAGAAAUUGUGAGAGAAAUUUAUCCUGACAAAGUAGCUUUAACACCCCUACUCUUUUAUUUUUAUUUUUAUUUUUAUUUUUUUAAUCUUGACUGAGAUAUAUUGGCUCAUCUAUACAGCCUAAUUCAUAAUGAAACAGGUAGCAUGUUAUUAUUUUCUCAAAAAAAAAAAAGUUUAUUAUCAGUGAUCCAACGGUCCAUAUCGAGGGGAUAAAAAAUGGACCCCUGAGAGCCUAUAAAUUUCUUAGCCUCUGCAGACCUAUUGGACUACCUUUUCAGUGUAUUUUAGAUUAGGUAAAAUCAUAUAAAACUUAUUUAAUUUUGGAUCAUUUAAAUUUUUACUACUUAGUUUAUUAUAAAUUUUAAUUUUACUAUCUAUUUUUUUUAAAAUUUAUUCAAUUUAAAUCAGUCAACGAUAUUUUGACUCAAAAAUUUAAACUAAUUACUUACUUUAAUAAAUUUAUAAUUAUAAAAAUUAUAUAAAAUAUGCUAACUAAACUUAUAAAGAUAAACGAUAUAUUCAAAUUUUGAAGUCAAAGUGUCGUUGACUGACUUAAAUCAAACAAAUUGAAAGAUUAAUUAGUAAAUUUAAAAUUUGGUUGGAUAAUUAAAUUCUAAUAGUCUAUAAUUUAGAUAAGUUUCAUAUAUUUUUACCUUUAGAUUAUUAAUAAUUUUUUUUUUAUCGAAGUUAAUUAUUCAGAAUAUUUCUUUAGUAAAAAUAAUUUAAAUUACAAUAUUUAAAAAGUAGGAAAGUAUUAAUAAAAGGGGUAAACUUCAAAUAUCACCCAUGUGGUUUCGCACUUUCUCACUUUAGUAUCUCAUGGUUUAAAGUGUAUCAAGUUAGUAUCCUGUGGUUUUAUUUUUAUCUUUUCGUCAGUUUUUUCGUUAAUAUUUCGUUAAAUUAUAUACAAAAAAAAAUUUAGAUACCUAUAUAGGUUUAUCGAAUAUUCACUUUAGUACUCGUUAGUUUUAACUUUGUCACUAAUUUAACGAAAAAAAUUAGUCGAAUCCAUAAUAAAAAGAUAAAAAUAAAACCACGUGGCACUAAAUUGAUACACGUUAAACUAUAGGGCACUAAAGUGAAAAAGUGUGAAAUCAUGUGGUGGUGUUUGAAAUUUUUUCUAAUAAAAGGAUAUAUUAUUAGACUAAAGUAAUACAGUUUCGUAGCAGUGAGCUGUCAAAAAAUUUCAAUUAAUUUUUUAUUUCCAAAAUUUCUCAAUUAAGUACUACAAAUACCAAACGCGUACUCACCCACUAAUACACCCAACCCCAUAUAGUGUGUGUGUAUAUAUAUAUACACACUGUGCGGCCCCAGUGUUACACUUGUCGGUGCACUCGGUCCACCAAGCGCUUAUAAAAAGAAUUUUUUUAAAAAAGGAAUUUUAAAUUAUUUCCUUUCAUUGAAAACGCCCAUCUAACGUCCGUAAGUUAAUAAAUGUUCUAACGGACGUUAGUGAGCUGGGCAUGUUGGCCCCACCAAUAAAACACCAAAUAUACGAGACCUUUUGUCUCCCUCUGUACCGACCGUAGGAUUAGGAUUAGACGGUUGUGAUCUUUGAUUUUGGGGAACACAGUGAUGUGGAAACUUUACAAAAUGGCCCCCCGUUGAGUAAUCAGAACGUUGGGAAAAAGAGGGACCAAAAAGAAAUAAAAGAUAAAAUUUUAAUAAAACUAUACUUUAUCCAAGUAAUAUAAUUGUUUCUAAAUAUUAGAUACUUAGUUUACUUAUACUAAUUUCCUACUACGCUAAAAAAAAAUUACUAUAGAAUAAAAUAUUUAAUUAUUAUAUUAUAAAAGUUUAGGUAGCGUUUACUAUAGAUUUCAUUUUAUACGCAAAAAGAGCAAACGUAACGGCGUUAAUGCGUGGAGCUGACGCCUCCGUCCACGUAGGACAAAAGUCAGGGGCAGUUUGGGGAAUUCGCAAAUGCCAAGUGGGUUUUAUCAGUGGUUUAUGCGCCACUUCCUCGUGAUAUAUCUUUUUUCUUUUUUCUUUUUUCUUUUUUCUUUUUGGUUUUUGGGUCACACUCCUCUCCUUACUCUCCUCUAGUUUCGUUCUCUAAAAUCUCAUUCUCUCCCCAUUAAAGGCGUCGGAUUCGAUUUGGGAUCUCUACGAUCUCCGCGCGGUUAGGGUUUUCCUUUUGGAAGGGUUCUCUUCGUUUGAAAUCUCCGCAUUUUGGAGGUAAUUUGAGCUUUAAAUCGAUCCGCAUUGGUCGGUUUGGGGAUUUUUUGGUGUUUCCGCAGUUAAAAAGUUUCCAAAAGAGGGAUUUUUCGAAGGAUUUGGUGGUUUAUUGAGUAGAUUGAUCUCCAAAUACACAGGCAUUGCUGAGAUUUCAAGCAAAAGUUAUCAGUGUUAGGGUUUCAUUCCAGCUUAAUGCAGGUGCUGUGGAGAAAAAUUGGGGUUUUUAGCUUCAAAUAUUCUGUUUCUUGGUGAUUUCGUUCCAAUGUAUCAUACACUGGUGCUCAGUUAAUCCUUGUAGAUCAUUUUUUUACUUCGUUUUGCUUUGAUUUGGUUGUGCACAUUGCCUCUUCUUACUACUGAAAAGUACAAUGAGAAGCAUGAAAUAGCUCCAUACUACACCAACUGCUGAAAUCUACACAUACUAUGAAGUUAAAUCCUCAAUUCUCGCUGUUUCUUUCUCUGUUCCUCAUAGUUUUGUCUACACCACUAUGUGAUUCCCAACCUCCUGAAUCUUCUCCUACACUAGCAAGAGAAUUGGAUGCAGUUCUUCAAGACUAUGCAUUUCGAGCUUUCGUCCACCCUAAAACUGGAAUCACUUACGACGGUUCUGUCCCUUCUAAUCUCACUGGUAUUCAGAUCGCUGCUCUAAGGCUUCGGAGCGGAAGUUUCAGAAAGAGGGGAGUUACAAGGUACAAAGAAUUCCAGGUCCCGCCAGGGGUAAUUAUUCAGCCCUACGUGGAGCGCAUUGUUCUUGUUUACCACAAUUUGGGAAAUUGGUCUUCUUUCUAUUAUCCUUUACCUGGUUUUACCUACUUAGCCCCCGUGCUCGGGCUCCUUGCUUAUGAUGCAUCGAAUUUAUCAGCCACCGACGUGCCUGAAUUGGAUUUUGUAGCUUCUGAUUCACCGCUAUUGAUCAAGUUCACAAACUUGAGCCCAGUGUCGGGUGCGGUCAUGGCUCAGUGCGUAUGGUUCGAUUUGGAUGGCGUGCCGGAGUUCAGGGACUUGGUUUCGAGAAAUACUUGCUCUACGUACCGACGGGGACAUUUUUCGAUAGUGGUCAACUCUACAGAGAUUCUCUCUCCUCCAGGGCCGGGUGUAUUUCCAAGUGAGCACAAGAAGAGCUCUAGAGUGUGGAAAAUUGUUGGAGGAGUGAUAGGAGGGUUUGUUGUCCUAGUUCUGGUUGCAUUACUUGUGGUGUGGAUAAGUCGGUGCAAACGGAGUAGAAAAGUGGCAGAAAUGGAAAGGCGGGCGGAGGUGGGGGAGGCAUUGCAAAUGGCACGGGUUGGGGACACCCAGGCACCUGUGGCAUUAGGAAUACGUACACAACCAAGGCUUGAGGAUGAGUAUGUUGCAUAAAUUGAUUUUGUAGGGUCUACAAUUGAUUAAGCCCUAAGUAUAUGUUGUUAGGAUUUGAUGGAGAUAAACUUAAAGGCGAACCAGUAACACGGCAGUGCUCAUUAACAAGGAACAAGUGGGGGAUGUUGAAAAUGUCCAGUAUGUAAAGAAUCAGCAGGUAUUCAUUGGUUAUGUUCCUUUUACCUUUUAUCUUAGUCUUUGUUCAAGAUCAGAUCAGGGCAUUCUUUUGAGGGAGUUAGCCGAAACGAUCUUCAUGGAAUUGUGUCCAUCUAUGAGGAAUUUCCAACCAUCUAUAUAUGGACCUUGGAGACGAAGGCACCCCUAUGUAGUAUUGGUGGUCUGGGCGUAUCUUAAUCAUUCUUUUUGUUGCUGUACUCAAAUCAAGCUUGCAAAUAAAUAUGAGGAAUUAUUCAUUUCUGUUUUUCAAUCGGUGUCGUUUUGGUAUGCUCUUCUUCUCCAUUUACGCUGUUGAUUCUUUAUUACUUUGAAUAUGUUUAAAUGCACCUUAUUACAUUAUUUUUCAAACCGGAAUGUCAAAGGUGAUACCUAAGUAUUCUGAUGAACCAAACCUUAGUGUAAGUUGUCACCAAUUAAGAAACUACUGGGACAAAUAGUCAUGGAGUCAGCUUAACAAAAUUGUGUCAUUGUCUAGGAUUUUUUUUUUCUGUCCAAUAGCCACUUACUUUGGCCAACUUUUGCAAUAUAUCAGGAGAAAUGGUUAUUUUCUUAAACAAUGUAAACCGUAUGUAUAAUGGAAAGCUCCCUUUUAAAUAUAUCACAGCAAACGUGAUCAAUCUUUUAAAAGGAAAAGAUGGCAUUCCACAUGAUAAUACAAUUAUUUUAUGAAAUAUUAGAAUAAAUGUCGGAUGAAUAUUUGGCUAAUAGUAGCAUGUUUGAAGUGGCUCAAGUAAUGCUGUUUGAGGAAGCUAUCGGGAAGAGAAUUAACAACUUGGUCGUCGUUGAUAUCCUCCCUAGUAGCUAGCUUUCCUUUGUGGCAAAAGGAGAAGUUUCUUAUUAGAGCUUCUGCUUAUGGUAUGCUAAAGCUCAUUUAAGCUUUCUUGCUGCUACAAACCUACUUUUAUUUGCCAAGUGCCUAGAUGGUGAUUUUCUUGGAAUAGAUAUGCCGCUGCAAACCUCAAGCAAAAAGGGCACUUGGUGGACUCCCAACUGUCUUCAAUCAAGGUUAGUUUAACUUCAUUUUUACUUCUUUUAGCACCAUGUUAUGGAGAUUUCUCUCAAAAAAAAUGCACCAUGUUAUGGAGAUGAUUUACUAAUGCAUACAUUGCAUUUUUACCACAUUUAGCACCAUGUUGUGGACAUGAUUCACGAAACUAAAAUAAAGAAAACAAAUGAAAAGGUUUCUUUCAAAUUGUGAGGUGAGAGUGAAAGUUUUCAAGUUCAGUUUGUAAAAUAUACUAGUUAAAAGGCAAAAUUUAAGGUCACCUAAGUUGAGAUCUACAUAGUACAAGAAAACCACUGUUCAAUGAAUGAUGCCAAAAGGAAUGCCAACAAGCAUCCAUCUUGGCACUUGUCAUUGUCUAUGUGACUAGAAGAUGUUUGGAAUCUAUAGCAUGUCACCAACCUAUUUGCGAAACUAUAGAGUAUGCAUAAAUACUCAUCAUGUGAUUAAAGUUAUGAUCUGAACCCUCUAGAUGAUUAGCACAAUUAACAAAAUCUAGCAGAUGUCAUAAGAGGUUUUGAAAUCUUUAGCCCUGACAAUAACAUAUUAAAUUAAAUAAACCACGCAAAUAUGCAUGUUAUAUUGUCAUUAAAUUAAUUAACACUCAGUCAUGUCAUUAAACUGAGGAUUUGAACUAUCUAGGUGAUUAAUACAUUAAUAAAGUUUAGCGGAGGUCAUUAGUAGUUUAAAAUAGUAAGUCACUGGAACGUAGUUAAAGAAAAAUAGAAAAGAGAUAAACAUAGAGACAUUCUUCUGGUUAUGUAAGUUUAAAAUUUGAAAUCAAACACUGAUACAAGGUGUGACUAGGUUUAUUAUCAUGUACAACCCUAUCUAUUAAGACAAACAAGGAUUUUGUUUCACUUGUUGAUAUAAAUUUAUUUUGCCGUACCUAAGUGAUAUAAUAAUGUGUACAAUGUAUGAGUAUUAUGGGUACAUCGAAAAUUCAUAGUAGAUUCUGGAAUCACACUUCAAAAAGAAAUAUACCACAAAUAUUUUUAUAGUUGCGCUACCACUAUUCCAGAGUAUACAUGGAGGCUUCGUAUAUACAACAGGGUUACCUCCUACAUACGACAUUUACAAAACGAAGCACUCUUUUACUCUUUGAAUCAAAAGGUCUCAAAAAGCUUCAGGUCAAAAUGAUAUGUCCAAAAGUUUCAGGUCAUAACGGCUUCACCAUAAAGCAGCCUCCGAAUCUGCAGGAUAGAAAGGGCAUAAAGAUUAGGACAAAUCUCAUAAAAACAAGGAGAUGAUUUGAUCAUAAAUGUCAUCAGAUGAACAAUGAGCACUAAAUAAAUGUCCUAGAAAAACAGAAAAAAAAAACUUUGAGAAACUGCAUGAGAAAGCAAGCAAAAAUAUGACAAGCCUAGCUAGUGAUAAGUCAUUCACAUCUAAAAUUUAUGUCUACAAGUAUAUUUAGGAGAAUUACCUGAGGUAGUUUUUGUUUAAAAGCAAGGUCCAAUCUUGCAUCCAAGGUGUUCUCACACAGAAUCUUUCUAUCCUGUGAUGCUAUAACAAUGCCUCCGGAGCUGCUUUUAGCCGAAGCCACGGAAACAACAAGAACACUUAUUAAACUCUAGAACCAGCAAUUCCAUAUGAUAAAACUCAGAAUAUGACAACAAACUGUGUUUCACUAAAGCAACAGGGUUGAUGAGUGUGUUAUAGAAGAGGUGUUGUGAUCUGCAAGAGCCAAUAAGAGUCUCUUUUACUUCCCAGAACGUUUAGACAACUCCUAUUUGGAUAAAUCAAUUGAUAGUCGAGGAGGCGUCGAAUAUUUCGAGUUGUAAACAACAACAUACAUCGAGAAUCUAGAAACUAAUUAAGAAGGUAGUCUACAAUAUAAAUCUUGAAGAUAGUAAUCCAUGUAAAAUACGAAUUUAAAGAGAAAAUGGGUGAUGGAGAUGCAUGGAUGUAGUGAGAUACCAAAACUGCUCCUGACACUCAUGGUGGGUUGGAGGUGAAGGAAGGUACACUUUCUCAUCAACAGUAACCUUUGGAGGAUGAACUUUUGCUCUCCUUGCGUAUUCUUGUGCAGCUUCAUCCAGUAUAGAUUCGACCAAAUAGCGAUCAAUCUCUCUACACCAUAGCAACACCGAGGGCUCUCUCAUAAGCACCAAGCUCUGGAGAUAAACAUAAAACAGUCCAGUAGAACAGUUCAAUUAAGGGUAUAUAUAUUUCUGUAAGCACAACAGUAUAAAUCUGACAAAUCGAACUUUUGAAGGAAAUAGAACAACAUUGAAAUUUUGUUUGGACACAUAAGUAUUAGAUAGAUAAUUUGCAGCAAUAUUCAUAAACUACAUCUGUCAGAGAAGGCGAACAUUGCGUAAUGCAUUUGUCCUCAAACUUUAAUUAAGAUUGAUUACUUCUCUAAAAUUUAGAGAAAGAUAAUGAAAUGUACUAAAAAUUGAGAAUUCGAGUCCGUGCCAAGUUUUUCUGGUUUCACUGGAUGAUCAUGUAACUUACUAAUCGUUAAAAAAAAAAAUACCAAAGAAAAAGGGAAAAAAAAUGUUGUAUUCAACUAGAAAAUGAAAGAACCCUCAAUAACAGCCGUUCAUUACAUAAUGUGUCUAAGAAGAAGAAAAAUUGCAUUUUCACCUGAACAAUUAAACCUCUCAAGAGCUCUUUGUAUGCAUUUGAAUCAUCGGCAAUACGUAAGAGCUUAUCACUACAAGCAGUUCUCAUUGAGUUCACCAGAUCAUGCUGCACCUGUAGAACUUUAACGCGCGAAGCAUUUACCUGCCUAGAGUACUCACUGGAAAGAUAUUUCACGGUUAAGGAACAAAAUUUUUGCAACAACUUCGUCCGAAAAGUAGUACCAAAUCCGUAGAUUAAUAAGUUUGUGUGAUAGAUCGCAAAGAGUGAUGAACUCACAUUCGUCUGCGAACUUCCACCUGUUUAAACUUCCGAUCGUAUUCUCCUUUGAUCUUCCGUUUCUCCGAUUCAACAAGCUGCGAUUUUGUUAUAUCGAACUCCUGCAUACAAUAGAAAAGAUCGCCGCACAGUUAACUUUCCUGUAGAAAGUGUGCUGCAAAAUGUUUUGCAGUUCGAGUUAUUAGAAUUAGAAGUUUAAAUUUGAAAAACAAACGAUUGCGGCAAAAUUGUAGGCUCAUUUAACAAUUUUCUCUCAGUGUGUUUAGGAGGAAAUUAAAGAUAGUGGGGGGGACCUCUUCGGCGGAGAUCAUGAUGUCGUUCGCCUUCUCCUCGGCCUCCCGGAGGAUGAACCGCACCAACUUCUCUAUCUGCUUCGCCACCGCCGCGUCGUCCAUCGCUCUCUAGAUCUCUCUAGAACCCUCUAGAACCCUCUCUAAUUUUGGGGUUUGUUAGGGGGAUCUGAGAGAGAGAGAGAGAGAGAGAGAGAGAGGGGGUGGAAUAGGGGAUUAGCAGUUGCAAUGGCGUGUGGAGAGAGGAAACGGGAGGGAGCUUGGCUUCGGUUUCGCGCGCUCCAGAAGAGGCGCGAAGGGCUUAGGAGGCGUGCUAUUUGUUUACACCCCUAGAACGCGUCCACCACGUCAUCCGUGGGCCGAUUUGUUCUUACUCAUUCGAAUCGAAGCGAUGAAAUAGAGAUCAAAUAUAAUGAACGGCAAAAUAAUUAUAUUUUUUAUUUAGCAAACCCCGCAAUUCCAAACAAACUCUUAUUUAAAUCAACAUGUAAGAUCAUUUACAUAGCGCUGACCGACAGAGGUACGAGGGAUGUACGGAUAAGUAAAAUCUAGAGGCUUCGUAUACCCUUGAAAGUAAAGGUCUUUUGCUCGCUCGCUUUCAAAAAGAGGUUUCAAAUAGUAGAUAGCUUAUUAAAGAGAGGGUGGACCGAUAGCACAGUCUGUAUACUUUGCGGGGUUGAAGAGGAAUCAGUAGACUAUUUACCUAAACAAUGCGUCUUUACUAGAUUUUUAAUGGUGAUGGCUUUAGAGAGUGUACAGCCUGUGGACUUUGGAAACGACGUGAUUAUGGUCUGGAAUAGAUACAAGCUUUGUAAUGGACCAUAGUCUUAUUGCAAUAGAUUGACUUGAUUAAUAGUUUGUUGGUGCGCCACCUGGGAGGUCAGAAAGGGUGUGAUCUUUAGGAAGAUUCAACUGAACCCCCUACUAGCGGUCUUCAAGAUUAAGCAGUUAAAUAAUCUGUGGGGACAAAUUCUCUCAGUAAAACAACACUAACAUUUUAAAGAUUUUUUUUUUCUUUUUUCAUUCUCGUUGCUUGAGGCAGUUCGCUACCUCAUCCAUGUAGCCUAAUUUAUUUAUUUUAUGAAUGAAGCGGGUUGCAUGUUAUCUCUUUCUUACAGAGAUGAAGAGAGAGGGAGAGAGAGAGUUGGGCUUUUCCCUCUCUCUCUCUCUGUCGAAAAAAAAAAAAAAAAAAACGAAAAAAAGAAGGUAAGAUCAUAGCAUAUCUCCGCAUAUAGUAUAGAAUAUGCUAGCGCUCCCUAAAUAGGGGCAUAUGCAAGUGAGUUCAGAAGCAUCUUUCAUUCAUCUGACUCAGAAAUUUUGCAAGGUAAAAAUUAUGGGCAGUUCAUUCAUAGGAUAAAAAAUAACGCUGUUCGAAUUUGAAAUGGACUCGAGUUUUGGAAUCUCGCAUAUUCCCGAGGGAUCUACAUGACAAAUCCGAUCGUAGCCGUCCACGUGGUAUAUGUCGGCACUCCACCGGAGUGGACGGCUAUGAUUUUCUAGAUCGGACGCUCCGGUUCUAUACAGGUGUGGAGCCAUUUCGUCUCGACGUGCCCCGCGCAAAAUUACGAAACUGCCCUCGAUUCGCUUUACUUAUAACUCCCGAGUCCCGGCCUUUAUUUCCUCUGCUGUAGUCCCUGUCCCUCCAUUUCCCGCGUGAGCUCCGUCCAAAACCCUAGCUGCAAAUGGGAGGAGAAGGAUAGAGAGAGAUCAAUCGAUCUCAAAUUCCUCGAGCCUCCAUGGAGUAGGGUUAGCUCCUCUUCCCCUCUCUCUCUCCCCCCGAUGGAUCCCGAUUAGUCUCUAUCUUCGAUGGAAACCCUAGCAAAUCCGGUCCGUGCGAUGGCCGCGGCGGUGGGUUCGGCGGCGCCGAGGGCCCCGCCGUGCGGCGCCAAAACCGCGCGGAGGCCGAGGAUCGUCCGGAUCGUCCUCGCCGACGCCGACGCCACCGACUCCUCGUCGUCCUCCUCGGGCGACGAGGAUGAAGCGGGGAGGAGGCGGCGUCGGGGGGUGAAGCGGAGCGUGCUCGAGGUCACCGCCGGGGCGUCGGAGGCGGUGAGGUUCCGCGGCGUGCGGCGGCGGCCGUGGGGCCGGUGGGCGGCGGAGAUCCGCGACCCGGCGCGGCGGCGGAGGGUGUGGCUGGGGACGUUCGACACGGCGGAGGAGGCCGCCGCCGCCUACGACAGCGCCGCCGUGCGGAUGCGGGGCCCGAGGGCGGUGACCAACUUCCCGGCGACGAUCCCGGCCCCGGAGCUCCCCGCGCCGCCGGAGAAGGGCGGCGGCGCCACCACCUCCUCCGCCACGAUCGGAGAUUCCCAUCCCUAUCCCUCGCCUUUGUCGGUGCUCUGCGACUCGCUGUUUGUAUGUAAGUAAUCGAACGCCUUCUAAUUUAGUUUUUUUCUUUUUUCAAAAAAAAAAAGGGGAUUUUUAGGGGUUUGUGUUGAUCUUCAGUAUUAGAAUUAUGGGAAAAUUUUGGUGAAAAUAUAUGUGUGUUGUGAUUGUAUGAAGAGUGCUUGUGAUUAUGAUUGUGAGAAUGUGGGCUCUGCUCACUGUAGGGUUGUUUUGAUGUUGUAUACUCGUAUUAGUGUUUGUAAUUAGUUACUUAAUGAGGUAGGCUUCGUGUUUUUUUUUUUAAAUUACUUUUGGAAUUUAACAAAGUAGAUUUGCAUGUUAAAAUAUCUUUUGGGAUAAAAUGCAUAAAACACUAUCUAAAAUAUUAGUGCAUUUUAAAAUAAAUAUUUUUAAGUAGCAGAAUAUUUUGUUAAGUUGGUGUAAUCCGGAGUAAUAAGUCGAGAAUGUUAUAAACACUGAAAUAAAAAAAGAAAAAAUUUUAAAUACUAUUCAUGUGGUUUUGUACUUUCUCGCUUUAGUAUAAUGUGGUUUAAAGUUUAUUGCUUUCGUACUCUAUAAUUUUUUUUUUUUGUCUCCUUCAUCAAUUUUUUUCGUUAACUUAGUGAUAAAGUUAAAAUUAAAGAGUACUAAAGUGAAUAUUCGAUAAACUAUAGGGGGAUAUUUGAAGUUUUUUUUGUAUAUGAUUUAACGAAAAAUUAACGAAAAGGCCGACGAAAAGAGAAAAAUGAAACCAUAUGGUACUAAAUUGAUACACUUUAAAUUAUAGAGUACUAAAGUGAAAAAAUAUAAAAUUAUAGAAGUGUUAUUUGAAGUUUAUUCAAUAUAUAUAUAUAUAUAUAUAUAUAAAGGCUCAUCUGGUAUUGGUGUUUUCUUUUUCUUUUUUUUAAUUUUCUCUGGGUGGAUGCAGUUUUCUAUUUUUAUCAUUAUUGAUUAAAUUGUGAUUAUUCUGUUGCAUUAUGUUGCUUUUUUGGAUUUUAAAAGGACAAAAAAGUUACUCAUAUGUUAUUUAAUACAUAAUGAAUUUCAUAAAUGUAUAUAUUACUUGCAAUCUAUCAUAUACAUCACCGUCCACCAAUACAUUGUGAAGAACAAAAAAUAACAAUGGUAUGUCUAUUAAGGAGUUAUAAUUUUGUUUGUUUGUUUUUUUUUUUUUCAAAAUCAGUGGGCUGCGAAAGUUUAAAUCUUCAUAUACCCAUUUUAUAAUGAGAAAUGCUACUUAUACAAUGUAGAAGUUGCGCACAAAUCCGCACCCCCAGCUUAUUGAAAAAUUUAGAUAAUUACUUUGAACUUCUAGCAUUAGAAAAAUAAGGCAGUAAUAAAAUUACUUUUGUUGUUAUUUUUCUUUUCUUUUUUUUCUUUCUUUGAGCUAUAUUUUUUUUUCUCAAGGUCAUGUUGUCUCACUGUUUGUAGCCAAGUUUAUUUUCGAAAUAAAUGAAACGGAUAACGUACUACCUUUUUUCUCCAAAAAAAAAAAAAAAAUUAACAUGAAAAAAUAAGUUUUUGGAUAGGAAGUGCGUAAGAUUUACCCUCACUACUUUUUGAGGGUUUUUGAGGGUACAGAUAGUAUUGUUCUUGCUCUUUUAUGAUAAGCAGUAGUUGAGUAAAAAGGAGUUAAUAUGUGGCACGAUUCAGAUUAUAUGAUUUGGUCACUUUCAUUUGAUUUGAAGGGGCCUUAUUAGGUCUAGUGGCUCAUUGCUAGACUUUUUAAGGUUCUUUCCUUUUUGGGUAAGUAGCACUAUUCUUGUAGAGCAUUUACCCGAAAUUUUCACUCGGGCUCCUUUCCUUAUAUUAGCUCUAGGGUCCAUAAUGUUUAAUGGUUUAUAAUGUUUUCAAGGUUUUUCAUCAAAAAGAAUGUCUACUGGGAUGGAAUUUGGAUUUGGCAACCAGAAAUGCUACACUACAUUUUCUCCAUAUAGAUUUAAUACAGGUUAUGACGAUCUAUGGUUUUAAAAUUUAAAAUUUUAUUACGUAGACAUAAAAAUCAACUAAUUCUAUUUGCAUAGACAUAAAAAUCAACUAAGCGGACACCAUAAUUUUUUUUAAAAAAAUAUUUAAUGGCAAGAAUAGAUAUAAAAAUCAACUAAGUGGACACCAUAAUUUUUUUUAAAAAAAUAUUUAAUGGCGAGAAUAGACAUAAAAAUCAACUAAGUGGACACCACAAUUUUUUUAGAAAAAACAUUUAAUAGCAAGAAAAGUAUUUUUAAAAAAGGAUUUAUUGGCCCAUGCAGGUCUCGAACCUGCGACCUUCGCGUUAUUAGCACGACGCUCUAACCAACUGAGCUAAUAGGCCACUGAUCUUUUAAGAAAAAUUCUUCAUUCAUAAGGCCUAAAACGAUAUGAGACCUAGCCCCAUUUAGAGUUCAAACAGUUUUCUUUUGAUGAAUCUACUUUUGGAUCGUCUCGUUUUUAACUUCAAGAAAUAGAAAUUUUUCAGUUUCACGGAUGGCAAUCCAGUCCAGCUGUUCAUUAUGAAAUGGUCCCCCCGCAAGUAGAAUUGUAGAUCACAAAACAGUCAAUGGCUAUAUUUUACCCUUUUAUGAUUUGUAAGAUAUAGAACGAUAUUAUCCCAUUAGAUAGUAGUCUCUUAAAAAGAAUAGUCUCUUAAAAAGAAUAGCAAGUAGUAAAAUACAACAUUUUAAACCAAACGCAGCGUAUCACAGAGUUCUUAACCACCGUUUGAUUCGGAAUUAAGUAAAAACUUGUUAUUCUGGAUAGAGUUAAGUUUAGGAUUAAGGUAGGGUUAGAAUAAUUUUGUGUUUGGUUGAGAAUUAGAUUUAGUUCAGUUAUAAAUACAAUAGUGUUUGGUUGGAGUAGAUGAGAUAAGAAGGAUAGUGGAUAAAAUAGUAUUUUGUUUGGUUGAAGUAGUGGGGUGGGGUGGGAGAACCCUACCCCCUAAUUGGGUGUUUGGAAAUAAUUUCGGAGUUAAAGGAUUAUUCCACCCCUUAAUUUCGAACCAAACGGGUGCUAAGAGUUCGGUUGGAUGAUAAAAGAUACAAAUAAGAAGAUGACGAAGAACAAUUGAAUGAAAAAUGAAAAAAAGACACGAAAGGAUAAAACUAUGCAUUCAACCAAGUAGUAGGUAUUCAAAAUUUCUGGGGGCAGGCCUAAAUAUUAUGAAGUUCUCUCAGUUAAAUGUUCUGCAUUCAAAUUGUCAUGCCGCAGGGAAACGAAUUGACCAGCAAAGAAUAAGCAAGGAUUGGGAGCAAGAAUUGCCUCGAUGGAAAUGUAUCUUUGGUCACCUUUGAACACCAACAUGAUCCUCAUCAAAAUUUCUUGCGACUUGUUACACCUCCUCAACCUGCAAAUAUUGAAGAAUUCAGUAUGACCAGUAAUUUUUUUACCCUUAAAAAAACUAAAAAGAAAUGUUAGCCGACAUUGUAACCAUUAUAGAAUAUUACGUCAACAAGAAGAUCUUGAAAUAUGUAAUGUACAAACAGUUUUAUCGAACACAGAAAUAUAAGAAAGAAGAAACUGCAUCCGGCCAGACUUCAAACAAGCGUCGGGUUAAAGUUGAGGCUAUUUACAUAUUUUUGGAGACGUAAGUUUACUUUAAAUUGGUUUUGCUCGAACUACAACAAACUACUUAUCGUCGUAGAACCUGUGGAAGGCUCAUUAACUCCAGAACGGCCUUUUUGGGGGUUAACUCAUUGUCGAUGAUGCGUGCAACUGCCGUCAAAACCGGCAUCUUGACAUGGUACCUCUGUGCCAAUGCAAUAACUGCCCCAGCUGUUGACACACCUUCAGCUAUCUAAAGAGGCAUGGGGGAUUAAAACCAUUUUAGUACUAUGUAGAAGCUUUUACAUAUAUAUUGUUGCAAAAUCAUCUAGUCGCAUAUUUGCACCUGUAAAUAGAUAAUUUUGCAGGGGUAUGUACGUGAAGGUGACUAACAAAUAUGGGCAUACAGAAGGAAUAUUAGAAACCUGAUUCAUUGAGCUUAAUAUGUCGUCAAGCUUCUCUCCCGAACCAAGGCGCAACCCAACAGUUCUAUUUCGUGAAAGGUUCACAAAACAUGUGAGCAUAAUAUCACCGGAUCCUGACAAGCCAGUAAGUGUUGUUGGCUUCGCUCCCAUCUUAAUAGAAAAAUGAAAAUCCACAAAAUAAAAAAAAAAAAAAAGAGAGGAAAAGUUAGGUAAUUAUUAGGCAUCCGUUUAGCCAUAGAAUUACAAACUGACCUUUGUUGCCAACCAUCGUAUCUCGGAACAGCCUUGUGCGACAAGGGCAGCCAUGCAGUUAUUUCCAAGGUGCAUGCCUUCUACAAUACCUGCUGCUAUUGCAAGUACAUUCUUAAGCGCACCCGCUAUUUCUACUCCUGUAACAUCACUGAUUUAUCGAAGGUCACAAACCAAACGAUUUCAUACAGGAAAGUGUAGAUACCAAGCAACUAAAACAAUAUGCCAUCGAUGUAGGUACAGAAAGAACAAACUUACAUACUAGAAAUCAGAUAAUCGGCACUACAUACAUAAUAGUACUUUGGUGAUUAGAGAAUUAUUCAAUAAUUGUCGCCUUUGUGCAUUAAAUGCACUAAUUGUUUGACAAUUGAACUUGUUUGAUAGUAAAGAAAAGUUAGACCUACUUGGACAUGAGUUUGUUAAUGCACUUCUUUUCAUGUUUACAUCUCAAAAGAGUGGUGUAUUAAGCUAUAAAAGUAGAAAGUGAAAAAGGAAACACAGUGCAUAAUCUAGUAGUCUUUCUUGCUUUUAACAAAAUCAGUUGAAAAAAAAGGAACUAAUGUUUGGACAUUACAUUCAAUGUUCAACAAUUAUAAUUAGGAAUGAAAGAAAACUUAAAUUGGGUAACGAAAUCGAUGCAUGUGUGUUCUACCAUGACUCAAAGAGAUAAACACAGCAUGAAGAACAAGUAAUUAGACAUAAUUCCCAGGCCAAUUAUACGGACGAAAAUCAAAUCGAUGAAAAAUUGUCACAAGGAAAAAAAAGCAUUUUCAUGUCAUUACAAGCAUAAAGAAAGAAAACAAGAAAGCAUAUCUACCCGGAUGUGUUGAUUCUCAGAUGUGGAGAGGCUAACAAUUGCUGAACAGCACUUGCCAACUUUUUGUCUUUCGAUGCCACCACCAUUGCUGUAAGUUUACAUAUCAUGUAACAGAAGAGUCUCUCAGCUUCUAAAAGAAAUAAACAGCUUCCAUUUGAUAAGUGUAACUUACAACUGGGAGCUCAGGUCACGACUGUGCCCGGGAGGCUUGGGUUUGGAGCAUUUCCCAAAUGCAGAAACUUCCAAAAACUAGGCAUUUGGCUAACAAAAACAAAGGGUAAGAAGCCAUUGCUCCAGCAGGCAGCUGAAACUUUUGAGCCGAAAGUAGAAGCUUCAAUUUGAAGCCUCUGCUUUUACGCGGUGAGAAUCUAUUGAGGGAUUUAAUGGCAAAACUGGUAACGCUUCUUUGGACAGCUGUAGUCAAACAAUACUGCUGCAGAAGGUCCAACUGAGCCAGACUGCCUACCAUAUGACAAAGAAUACAUUAAAUUUCUGAAGUAAUACCUGUUGGUAAUUUAUUCACCAACUCAACUGCAAAAGAGGGUCCUGACAACACACUAAUAGGUUGGCGAGGGUUUCCCAAUGCGUGCGGUAUGAUUUGAGACAUCAUCCUUAAAGUGUUAAGCUCCAAUCCUUUGCUAAGAGAUAUGAAUGGCAACUUUGGGUCAACAUGUUGUGAAAUGCCUUCAAGAAAGGGUGAACUGAACUGCCAUUAAAUCAAUGAGGUUGGUAGACUUAUUCAAGUUCACAAAAUGCCUGAAUUUCACUAGAAUUUGUAUAAUUCAGUAGUGGCUAGUUAGCAAUGGGGCAUUUAUAAUCGCUUAUUAUGUGAGUGAGAACUAAGAUUACCUGCACCGGAACAGCAUGUAAGCAAAAAUCAGCUCCUGCUAAAGCAUCCUUUGCAUUAGUUGUUGCAACAAUAUUCUCCGGCAGCUUGUGUUGUGGAAAGUACUUGCUGUAGUAGAAUGUAUUAAUGGAAAAAUUUAAAGUUCCUUAGAGUCAUCUAAAAAACAGAACAAAUUUCUCAAGAAUUUUCUACAUACUAUUUAUUGAGUCUUUGUAGAGGUCCAACAUAUCUUCUUCUUCAACUAUGUAUUGAGUUCACAAAAUGCAAUUGAACAAAAUAGAAGAAAGAUCUUCAUUUGUCGUUUAAUUAAAUCCUAUUAUGUAGGUGACCGCCUAGUUGCCUAAACUUGCAUCUAAUCUAUAGAAAGAGUAAUAGGUUAGGAUUGCCUACGCUACAUAAUUCUUAUGAUUCUAGUCAUCCCAAGCAAUUUAAGCAAACUACAAAGUUAGCGGGUUAUAAUGUCAAAAUACAGCUAGUAUCUACACAUUCAAAUAUGAACAAGAACACAUUAGUAUGCAUACACAUAUUGAUAAUUUUUGUCACCAGAUGUUUAAAACCUCUCACCAGUUGAAGUGAUUUUCGUUGAUGGCUCGGCAAAUGUGAGCAUCCCUAACAAGCAUGGAGACUUCCAUUUCUGCUUUCUUGCUUGCGACAUGUGCUGCCAUUGCCGUCCCGAAAGAUCCGCCACCAAGAACCACAACCUAAUUCGACCACAAUCAGCGUUAUCAUCGCAAAAUUACAAAUAAAAUGAAAUCAAAUCAAAUCAAAUCAAAGGGGUCAAUUGCAUUUCAGUCCUCGACCACUUUGCACGGCUUCAGCUUAGUUCUCAACCUAAAUUUCUUACAAUUAGUCAUUCAGUUGAGUUCCACCGUUAAAUUGCUGCAAUGUUAAUGAUAUAAUAUCGCCCAUUUCAAUAGAAAAAUCAAAGCGGGAUUAAAAAUUAGAGAUCAAAAUGUAAAAUUCUAGAUGAUGUCGUUCUCGAACAAAAAUUGCACUGAACAAAAAUGAGGAUUAAAAAAAAGAAAAAGAAAAAAGAGGGGCAAAUGAGGGGUGACAUCAAUGGAAAGAGAGCGAGCACCUUCCUGGUCCUCUCGAGGACAUCGCUGUUGUUCUUGGAGCGCCACGACCGAGACCAGCGCACGAGCUUCUCCCACGCGAUCCGCACCGCCCUACGCCGGUCCCAUCCGCCGCCCUCCUUGGCCCCCGCCGCCGCACCGGAACUCGCGCUAGGGUUAGGGUUCUCCUCCGACGCGGGAUCGGCGUCGAGGGUUCCGGCGGAGCAGGGGCAACGGGGCGGGCUUGUGGGGGAGGCGACGGAGAAGGGAGAGAAGGGUUUAGGGCGAAGCCUUAUCCGUAGGGUUCGGGUGUCGGGAGAGGAGAGGAGGGGGAGGUGGCGGCGGCGAGGGUUUGGAGAAGGGGAGAGUGGGGAGAUGAGCGAAGAGGAGGACGGAGAAGGAGAAGGGUCGGCGAGAAGAGUCGCCAUUGUUGUGAGAGCGGAACCUUCUAUCGAGGUCGAGGAGAGAACGAGGGUGUGUGUAUGUGUGCGCGCGCGCGUGCGUGUGUUGGGGGCGAGUUUUAUCCGUUUCGUGCGCGCGCGCGCGCUCUCCCUCUCCUCAGCGGGUCGGAUUGGGGAGUGAGGGACGGGUUAGUGAGUGGAUCCGAGAGCAUACAAACCCGACCCGACCCGAUCCUUCUCCCGUUUCACCCCUCGCCACAAAUUCGCAAACUGAAUCCGCUUCUGGGGGGCUCUCUUCGUUUUUGGCUUGGGCUCCUCGUUUCCAAGGUAACGUGGAAGCUUCAAAUUUUCCCCUCUUCAUGCUAUUCGCAUUUCUUUCCCAUUCAGAGAAUUUGAUCUAGGGUUCCUAAUUUUGCUCUCACCUUUGCUACCUAUACUUACAUUUUCAGUGCUAAAUUUUGCUCGGCAAUACGAUUUGAAACAUCUGUUACGUCAGGAUUGUGGCGAUUAAGCCCCUAAUUUUUCCAAUUUCUCUUUUUACUUGGUUGCGGUUCAAAAGGAAUUAAAGGAUUUUGAUCCCCAGUUGAGAAAUUUGGUUUCUUUUGCCAAUUUUUGUACCCCAAAAGUAGAUGUUUUCGGGGCUUCACAUCAAAAACGAAACUUGCUUUUGAUAUGAUUAAGAAUUUUGAGCUUUAAUAUGAAUGUAGUUCCUCUUUGCCUUUUGUUGUAUUAUAUUACUUGUAUUAAUUUAUAUUGCCAAUUUAUCUGAGCUUAAAUCCAGAAAAGAAGCUUCCUUUGAUCUGAGUAAUAAUCUUGACCUCCAAUUUUGAACUUCUGUUAUCUAUUUUUCUUUCUUUUUUUUUUGUACUGAAAAGAAAAACUCUUUUUUCCUCUUUUUGUUCUUUUCUCUUUUGGCCCUACAAAUAGAUAGAUCAUUUUCAAUUUUUCUUUUAAAAUUUUUCAUGCUUCAUUGUCUGAAUCUAAUAUGUUAAUCUCCUUUCAGCAACAUGGGCCACCACCACCACCACUACGGCCACCAUCACGGCCACCACCACUGCCAUGAGAGUGAUAGCCCGUUCGACGACCCCCUUCUUGGCCUGCUGCUGCUGCCCCUGCGUUCUGGUAACUUCCAUUUUUAAGGGUAUCGAACGAUGUGUCUUUGCCACUUGCUACCCUUUUCUCCGAUGCUUUGGCUGGGACGAACAUAGUCAUCACCACCACCACCACCAUAACUACCAUAGCCAUUUCGCUUAAAUAAGUUCUCAGUUUAUUUUACAUCGCCAUUUAUAUUAGCGACGAAUGAUAUUUACUACUUGGCUUGUGAGACAUUUUGUCGGUAACAACCGUUUAUAAUGGGAAUCCGAUGAGCUACUCAAAGUUUGAAGGCUCCAUGUAUAUGUUAGUAAUUGGUAUUAAGUGCCGUGUAGUUCUUUUGGGUUCAAAUGAUAAUUGAAUACGGCAUUACUAGUGCCAUGAAAAUCAGUUUAGUGAUUUUGCUACAAUUGCUUCGUUUUGCAAUUUACUUUAGGAUUGCUCUCUGUUAUGUCGCUUGCAGUGUUCUUCUCGAAUAUUGAGUAUGUCUGUAAAGAUGGACAGUUCGAUUAGCUAAUGUGUUAUCAGUCAUCGAUAAGAAGAAGCGAUUUGUGGUAUAUAAUUUUUAGGAAUGCUGUUGGAAUUUAACAAGUUACAUGAUGUGCGAUAUAAAUUAUGCUGUUGUGUGUUAUUUACGUCUUCCGGUUUCUUGGUAUGAUGAUAAAAGUGGUGCGUAGUUAGAAUUCCAUGCCAUGAAUUGCUAGAACUCUCUGAACAAAACACUUCGAUUUCCCAAUUGAUAUUCUUAGAAACCUCUUAUCGAUGCUUUUUAAUUAAUGUUACUGUAAACAUCUUACCCAUACAGUAACUUCUCGAAAUAGAACGUGUUUAGAGACCUCUUAGCCAUGACUAGAUACCUUUGGAGUUCGCUUCUUAUAUUCUUAUUUUUCACUUGAUAGCCGAACGAAGUUAGAGAGAAACCAGCAACUUUGAUAUAGAAUUUAUAUGAUCUUCUUGAUUCUCCUUUCCAAUAACUAAAUAACUAAUGUUUCUAUAUAAAUAGGAGGAUAUCUUUGAUAAUUAUGACCAUGCAUCCAAAAACUCAUAUCUCAAUUAUAAAGAUAAGAGUCCAAAAGAAAGAAGGAAAAAAGAUAAAGGAAAAACACCACAAAAACACAGAGGAGAGCUCAAUCAUUUAUGGAAACAGGUAACUCAUAUUCAUAUAAUAGUGUAACACUACUACAAAACCCAAAUAUCAUCAAAGACAUUAUGGGAUACAUCACAACAGUAUCAGAGGACAGAUACACUAACUACACAUAUAUGGGUGUAAGAGAGAGAGCCCGUCCUCACACCCACAUAUGUGAACUCAAUGGUGUUCAGCAGAAGCUCCCACCUUUAUUCUUCACUUCACUUUAUUAUUAUAUACCUCCCUACUCUCACACGCACUCCCGGGAGGUCGAAGCGAGUCAUUUUAGUGAACCCUGCACAUAAAAGAAUCAAAAAAGGAGAAAAGGAAUAUUAUUGUCAAUCAAAUUUAAGUAGUUAAUUUAGAGGUGGCAGUACAGCUUCAUUUUCGAGUUUCUGCUUGUGAGGUCUAAAAGCUCAUUUCAUCGUCCUCCUCAAAUCAAGCCACAGGUCUACUUCUUGCGUAAAAGAGCUCUUCACAAAGCUAGUCUGAGUAGUCAUUAAGCACUCGUUUGACUCUAUGGAGGCUUUCAUUCAAGUACUGUUUAAGAAGAGCUUCCUAAAGUAUUAAUAGCUUUCUCCUUAAAAUCUUCUUCCGAGUUUUUUAUCUUUUCCACUCAGAAGCUUAUUUUAACUUUCUACUGUAGAAAAAGCUUAUUUUAAUUUUCUGUCGUAGAAAGAACUUUCGACGUAUUCCUUGAAAUCUCCUAUGGAGGUUGUUUUUUUUUGUACGAAAUUGCAUUAUUGAUGCAAUUUUAUGUCGUUUUCAAAGAUCUGAUGGUGAUCUCAAAUUGCGCUGAAGUUAAGUAUAUAUGUAGAACUUCUCUUUCGCUUGUUAUGCGGCUUACUUGCUGCAGUCGGUGGAGGUGCUGAUGGUGUAUGGGACGCUGACGCCGCACGCGCUGGGGAUGGAAGAGAUAGCACCAGGCUUGAGGCCGCUGACGCUCGCAGCCUCCUGCUUCAGGCAGUUGCACGCCGCCUGUCGGUCCGCCGUGCUCUGCGCGGCAGCAUUCAGGCUGCGCACGCCGCUGCAGCAACCUGCUGGCGGCGUCCCCGUCCCCGAGCGUGCGUACGCAAUGCACUGGGAAAGGAGCGACGACACCUGGCCGCAGGUGAUCGCCGCCUCUGUGCCGGAAAUGACGACGGUGGAGGCCACGAGGGCCAGGAGGAGGGUAGCUGCGACGCGGGCCAUUUGAUUUGCAGGUUAGCGGGUGUAUGUGGAAUUUAGCUCAGUUGGAAUGAGAGUAGGAAGUGGUAGGAAGUGAUGCUGGGAAUGGUUAUGUGUAGGGAGUAUUUAUAGAACUUCUAAGGGUGCUUUGCUUUGCUUUUGUGUGUGUGUGUGUGUGUGUGUGUGUGUGUGUGUGUGUGAGAGAGAGAGAGAGAGAGAGAGAGAGAGAGAGAGUUAGUUGGGGGUUGGGACCAGGAGAAGGGGGGAAUGAGAUCUUAGGAAGGAGCAUUUAUUUGGGUGGUUGCAUUUGCUUGAUUGGGUGGGGGUCAUUUAGUAGUACGGAAAAUAGUGCUUCGUAGAGGAUACAAGAGAGGACAAACUACACAUGAUGGAUACAUGCAUCGAUUUGGUUAGUAAAGUGAGCAAAUAAGAAGAUAAAAUGGAAGUUACCAGCGUUGAAAAAGAGUGUUGAGUAUUACAAAGGUUCUUGGUUAUCUUGCUACUUGUGGUUAAAUCUCUCUUUCCUAUUAUUUUGAAUGUAGAGUCGAGAACGAAAGAUCAAAGAGGAGUGAAGAUCUACAUUACAACGUUAUGAACUCGAAUUUGAGACUGUUUGAUAGUAGCAUCCGCUUUAAUCUGCCACGUCCCGAAAUUUCUGUUUAAGUUUAAAACCGAUGCGGAAGUGUCCAAAAAUUUAUUUAUUUAUUUUUUUUGAAAGUCUUGACCGCAGAGGACGUCAAAUUCGUCACAAAUACAGUGAAUCUACUGUUUACACGGACAGAAUCUUUUCUGUAUUUGCACGACGUUGUACAAGUACAAGAUACAACCACACAGUAUAAUAACCCACAUACAAUCACCACAUCAUAUAUACCAUUCACAUUUAUUCCAUCAUCAGUUUAUCAUAAAUUCACAUUUAUUAGUUUAAAACGUUUUCAAUUCGGAAACAUAUAUUGAAAUACUAAAAAUUAUGAAAACGAUUUUCUACCUUUCGUGGUAACGUAUUUUUUUUUAAAAAAAAUUUCUUGUGGAAAACGGUCUUCGUACAAAAAUUCGCGUACAUACUGAGAGUAAAGAGUGCAGAAGAACUGUUCAACAAUAAUAAAUGGUGUAGUUAAUGGCGAGAAGAAAUGACAUGUACAGGAAACAGAACGGGGAAUGGGAAUUUCAUGCUUUAAUUUGCUCCGGUUAUAAAUCAUCUAGUCAUGUGGUAUUUAAUUUGUAAAGUAAAAUGCAGCAGGGUAUCUUGUUCUGGUACUUAGGGAGUAACUAUUUUAAUGUACCGCUUCUGAAAAUUCUAAUCUUUAUGCGUAUUAGCCAAAUCACAAAUGUGCAGGGAAAAUUAGGUGGGUGUCGGACAUUAUUGUGAUUGUAGAACCAUACCAGAUCAAAGUGUUCCUGAAUCAAAGGGAUAGAGAAAGUUGUGUGAUUUGGAAGAGGUUAAUUGGUUUGUCAAUUAAGCAAGUACUUGCAAAUAGAUCUUAUUCAGAGAAAUAUUAAUUUUUGUAGAAACUCUGACGAGCUAAACAAGAGUUUAGUUCAUCCAAACUAACACUAUUCACCCAUUCAAAACUUGCUAGUCACUUAUUAGGGAGGAAUAAGUUUAGACUCUAGCUCAGAUGAAGAGCUAGCGCACUAAUCUAUACCUGUACAUUACUCCCCAUGACUAAAUCCUACAUGUAUCCACCCCCUUAAUUUGAGGAGAAGUGGGGCCUAGCUGUUUUUUUUUUUUUUUUUUUUUUUUUUUUUUUUUUUUUCUUUAGAUUUAUUAAGGCCUAAAAAGUUUUUUUUUUUAUUCUUUUUCUUCACCUUUUGACCUUCCACCAUCUUUCUUAAAUUUGCAAAUUCGAACCUUUGUUGUGUUUCGUAUUAUUGUGAGCCUUUCUUUAGUCAUAUCCUUAUCUUUACCUUCUGAUCUUCCACCCUCUUUCUUAAAUUUGCAAAUUCGAAUCUUUAUUGUGUUUCGUAUUAUUGUGAUGAGCCUUUCUUUAGUCGUAUUAACUACAAUAUGAUAGUUUUUUUAUUAUUGUGUUAUAAAAAUAAUUUUAAUCAUCCAUUUGCAUGAUAUGCGACAUCUUUUGAACAAAAUUGAAUAAUUUUGUUGGAACGAUUGAUUCUUUUUCAUUAUAGUUUUUUGUUAAAAAAAGUAUUUGUCUAUAAUAUGGACUAUAUUUAUUAAUUUUUAUACUAAACUGAUAUUUUAUUUUUUAUAAAUUUUCACUUUAACAGUAUCUACCCGCCGCCGUAACACGCGGGUCACUACACUAGUAAAAUUAAUAUAUUUAUCGCUAAUUUCAUUUACAUUGUGAUUUAGGAACAAUUUAGCUCUUCAAGACACUACUUACUCCCUAGUCCUAUGUAAGUAGUAUUGAGGCGCUACUACUUCAAUCAUGGUUUGACCAUUGUAAUGUGAACGUUAUUAAGAUGGAGAGUUUCACGGGUCUUAAAAGUUUGAUGGUCCACUAUAUAUACUAUUAGGCUCUGAAAAAGUCUAAAAAAUAGGAGUUGUAAAUUGAUCAUGUUGUUCUAUAUAUUCCCAUCUCCAUUACUUCCAUCAACUCUUUUUCUCCCAUCCACCUUGAUUACAAGUGAGCUUAAAUGCAUUGAGGGAGGACGUAAUCCUCCCCCUCCCAACUGCAUCACAUUAAUAAGCCGGGCCUCUCUCCCUUUGCUUUUGUGGUCGUUGUCUCAAAUUUAAUGCUUGAUGUUCCUCUCUAAUUUUGAUUGCCCAACCUCUAGGAUAAUUUUAAAGAGCGAGGCUACUAUGCUAUCAGAAGCACGGAGCCUUCCGUGCUUCCAGCUCGUUUUCGAUGUUGCGACUUUCGAAUCGUCGAUCGGCUCCGUUAAACUUGAUCUAGAGUAUUUGGAGUACCUAGAAAAUAAAUUUUAUUAUUUUUCGAUAUCAUUUGCCUAGUGAUCGAAUGAGCUCAAAAUCAACAAAUUUCAAUGGCCGUAGUGAGCCGUUUGCAAGUUUAACGAUGUAGAAAUAUCCAAAUCACGUGAAAUUUUAAUAGAAAAUUCUUUAUACUAUAUAAAACAAGAUCAAUAUCUUUGAUUUAAAAUUUUAAUGUCAUACUAUUACAUUUUGUAAGAUUUUUAUUUUCAGCCGUUGAUUUUGAGCCCCUUCGUUCACUAGGCAAAUGAUAUCGUAAAAUCAUAAAAUUUAUUUUCUAUAUACUUCAAAUACUCUAGAUCAAGUUUAACGGAGCCGAUCGACAAUUCGAAAGUCGCAACAUCGAAAACGAGCUGGAAGCACAGAAGGCUCCGUGCUUUCGAUAGCAUAGUAGCCUCACUCUAAUUUUAAAUGGCUCCUUCCUUACGUGUUAAGGAGUCUUAGGUCAUUGUAAUGCGAAAAUCGCGAUUCGUUGUGCCCCUUAAAUACGGGAUACUGUAUAGAUCAGUUCACUUUACUUCGGAAUCGAUGUAAUUAUCUAUGUAGUGUGGUUGGAGAUGUAUGCAGUUGUAAAUACAUGCAUCAUGUUUAGUUAGAUGUAGUAAAAAAUAUUGUAACUAUAAAUAAUUUGUUUAGUUGCAUGCAGUUGAGAAAUAAUUUUUAAAAUUUUAUCAUUUUAUAUAUAUGAUGAUAAAAUUACCUUUAAUAAAUAAAAAAAUAUUUUUUUUAUUUAAAAAAUAAUUAAAAAGGUAAGUAUAUCUUUUAUUUAAAGCUACUCCUCCAACUAUUAUUGCAGUUGAAACUGCGGUCAAUUUAGACGUAGUUCAAAUUACUGUAGCUGGGUCUCUUUCUGUAGUUUUUACUAUAAAAAUUAUAGUAAAAUACAUCAAAUCAAAUAUCGAAUUUAUAUUUACAUAUAAUUAUAACUAUAUACAAUCAAAUGAUCAUUUAUUGUAGACGCUCCAGAACCGAUAUUUUAUAUUAUUUUCGAGAAGAAUAUAAAAGAAAGUUAAAUUUUCAUUCGGAUGGCACCCACUGCUAUUUAAUUUGAAUAUAUGUUAUGAGCCGAACGAGUGUAUCCUCGUUGACUGCGACCAACACACGUGUACAGUACAUGAUUGCACGAAGAAAGGGAGGAGCCGUCCACGUGGAUGGUGUGCAAUCAAGUUAUGAUAAUUAGAAUGCAACGGAUAUACGGGCCGCGUGGCGUAACAAGUUAAUUAAAUAUUUUUUAAAAAAAUAUAUAUUUUAUUAUAAUAAUAAAAAAUUAUUUUUAUUGUACUUUUAUUUGAAAAGAAGAAAUAUGAUUGACCUGUUAUUGAUAAUGGGUGCAAAUGUGACAAUAUAGAAUUUUUAAAAAAGUGCACACUGUACUAUAGUAGCGAGGAUGCAGUGUUGCUUUAGGAUUCGUGCUGGGACCAUACCAUGCAAUAUCUACAUCAAUCACAUCGGGACCGUUGGCCGUCACUUUGACUACAAGGAUCGACGUCCGAGCAUGAUAAAUGCUCAGAUGCUGCAUCAUGUACCGCAGGUGUCUUUCCCAGCACAAAUUUUAGAAUGCGUAAGUUGUAUCGGUGAGGUUGCAUUCCCAACUAAUUAAAUAAAAUUUUUAAAAUUAAUUUAUUAUAUUAUAAUUAUUCAAAAUAUUUUUAUUAUAUUUUUUUUAAACAAAAAUAUGAUCAACUUUUUAUUAUUGGUGUGGUGUAAGUGUGACACAGUAAACAUUCUCUUUUCAAAAAACUUCUCAACCCUCACCCAAAAAAAAAAAAAAAAAAGUUUUCUAAUAAUCACGACUCUUUUUGUCUAUAUAUUUGGCUUAUGCUUUAAGUCAAAAACAGUUUUACUAAAAUGACGUUUCUCGAUUUUAAUAAUGUGACCAGCUUCACUAACUAUAUUGAAAAAAAAAAAAAAUUGGCAUGAUCUCUAAAAUCACCAAUUUGAAGCUUCUACGUACGUACCCACACUAACAGGGAAACUUAUUAUGAUGGAUUUUAAAUUAAACUAAAAUAAUGUGUUCUGAAAUGACACUACUGUUUUACAAAAACUUCAACCCCGAAACAUAUAGUUGUUUGGUGAAAUAAAAUGUUUAGAGCUUGCAUGAAAGGAUUAUGGGCUUCUUAUAUAUUAUUAGAGAAGCAAAAGCUCUAAAAGAGGAUUCUUCGACUACUAUGAAAGGUAUUAACUCUUCAAGAGAAACCUAAUACGAAUAUGAAGAGACUAAUAUAAGAUUGAUAUUUAUAUACCUGGGAUGUUUUUUUUUUCUAGAGAUAUAGGUAGUACGUUACCCGUUUCGUUUAUUUCAUUUAGAAAUAAACUUAGCUGGAAAUAUAAAUCAACCAGAAUUCGAACUUAGUACCUCGGAUAUCAACCAGUAAAUACUCUGCCAUUUACUCUAAGGACGAUCGGUAUAUACCUGGAAUGUUACUGCAUGCAAAAGGUUGGGAGUUUUAACUCUUGCAUGUAUGUUUCAAAAUUAAUGUGGGAGAUUUGAGUCCCGAUUUUCAGAGACCCACAUUCCAACUAUAAUAUAAUUUUGCAAUGUUUUUGAGAUAAAAUAUUCCUACAAUCAGAUAAACUUUAGUGCUUUUUUCGAUCAUUGCGCUUAAACAGAAAGUAACAAAAAAAAAAAAAAAAGAAAUUUGUGCAGGGCAAACAAUCACCUAGUUUUUUUGUCCAUAAUUAUCUAGAACGAUAAAGAAUAGAACACGUCCGUGUGUGUGUGUGUGUGUGUGUGUGUGCAUAGAAGGGACGGUUGAGUUGUCCCUCUCACGCAUUAUUGAGAGGAAAAGUAGACAAACUGAUCAGUUUUUGUCAACACCAGAGCAUGCAACAACGAGCUGCUUUAUUAUAUUAUGAUUAUUGUUUUUAUGCUCCCAUUGUGGUCCUUUUUAUUGUGUACUCUCUUUAGAAUUCAUCCCCCCUCUUUUUCUUUUUGGCUCUUAUUUUUCUAUGCUUUUUUUUUUUUCCUUUGUUUUCUUCAAAUGUAUAUCAGUAUAUGUCUCUCUAAAAAAAAAAAAAACACUUUAAUUGUAUGCCAAUGAUUUCCAUGUGAUUUCUCUUGUUAUCCCAAACACGGUUAAGAGAAAAAGAAAAAAAAAUGUCGCGUAACGAAUCUAAUGACAUGACCUACUAGAAAUAAUAACUCGUUGGGUCAAAAAUAUUUAAACUCAGUUAUUAUUAGUAGUGUAUUUGUUACUUAUAAAGUCAUCAUACUUUUUCACAUUAUCUAAUGUGAGAUUAUUAAAGUAUCAUAUAUUUUUCUUGUUUAGACUCACGUUCUCGUCAGCCCGACCCAAUCAAACAGAUAGUCCCAAAUACACGAGACGAUAUGAGAUAUAUCUCACACUUUCUACUGGCUGUCAGAUUUUAGUACUAAAUGUAGCAACUGGACUCACUAAUAAUAAUAACUUACUGGGUCACAACCACCACCAGCCCAAAAUAUUUAAAUUCAGCUAUUAUAACUAGUGUGUAUAAACCAAUCACACCCUUCUACAUAAUUUGUUGUGGGACUAUUAAAAUGUCACACGGUGUCCCAAGUGUAGCAUAUUUGUAGUCACUAGCCUCUGGAGUUUCAAGCUCUGAAACCAAUAGAAUGAGUGUUGUUUGCUUCAAAUAGUCCCAAAACAUGCAGUUUCUUCCAUUUCACUAUAACAUUAAUAGAAAAGGCACUUCAUGUUUGAGAAUAAUAUUUUUUUUUCUGGGCUUAUCACACGCACUAGGGGGUUGCCAACCCAACUUUUCUAUUCAUUGGAAAUCGUACUCUUUUCUUUAGGUUAUUCAGCUAAAUUGCACAAAAUAGUUUCUGUAAUCAACACAUAAAAGCCCAAGAACCGCCAGAUGGCAGUUAAGAAAAUACAGUUGCAGGAAUUGAAUGCUUUGGGACCGACCUGGAACCGUGCAAUGGUGACUAUUUUGAGCUCACGGUAAAUUUCCAACUAAAAGUGAUUAGUAGCAUCUAAACAUCCUAUCACCACUGAUAUAGAACAAGGAAUUCACACUAAUGCAAAACAGUGUGUUACUUACACUUGUAUCAGUGGAUCCUUCACACUUACAAUGUUAGUUGAGAGAGAGAGAGAGAGAGAGAGAUGCGAAAUUCCAUUAAACCCAACUGCAUGUUACCUGCAGGGAUAGUAAGAAGACAUUUCCAAAAACCAAAAGAAACAAAGGUUAUGCUAGUCGGAUCAGGAAUUAAUUAUAUAUAUAAUAUAGCAUAUGUAAUUUGUAUUCUUGUUUGCUUUAGUAUCAUCCCUUACUCUGUUACAUGUGGCCUAUUAGUGCUACUUAUACAGUAAUAGACAUUUGUGGCCUUACAGUAAAUUAUGUCCUACCAUUGGUUGCCCUCUUCGCGGCAAAGAGCUGUCGAAGGAAAGAGCGCUUGCCACUCCGCGCAUUGGAUGUGGCUGUAAUGGUGCCCCUACUGCUCGUUGGAACGGCUUUAGCUUCUUGAUUGGUGUUGGCUUCUCGGUCGGGUAACGGCGGGGGCAGAGUGAAAAGGAAGGUGUUUAGCAUGCGAAUGAUCUGGCCGAAGUUCGGCCGCAUGUUGGGGUCCUCGACCCAGCACGACUGCACGAUGAACACGAGCUCAGGGGGUGUGUCGUCCGGAAAAGGGGGCCGCAUUUGCUUUUUGAUUUCAAGAAAAAAACAAAGAAAGAGAGCUCAAAUCAGUAAAAUACAUUUCCAAUUCUCAUCGGCGGCAAUAGAGAUAUCUAAUAAGUAACUUUAAAAGGCCUGUUUCGCCCAGCUACAGCUUCUAUGGAAGUACUGUUUGAGGAAGGAACUAAGAGCCAAAUUGGCUUUGGGGCCUAGAAGCCCAUUUGAACUUUUCAUCGCAACAGAAGUUCGUUGCUGCAUGCGCCAAAUGUCCUACUCUCCGGAAGUAGAGAAGCUGCUAAACAAGUUGAGCCAAACAGGCACAAGAUGUAGAUGAUCGUAAGUAACAUAAGGUGCAAAGAAUCAUAUUUCAACAAAAUGAAGUACAUUUUCUAUAAGGCUAAACCCCCAAUGCGAUAGCAAACCAUACUACACUAUGUGUGCUUGUAAGUUAUGCAUUCUAAGCUUGACAAAAGAAGAAGCACAAAUGAACUUCAAAGAAGAAGUAUGCACGAGACACGAAUGCUGUUAAGCUGAACGCAGCAUAGAAGAACACAGCAUCAGCAUUUUUCAGAAUAAUGAGCAUUUAGUAGCCAUGAUUAGAAGCAGUCACCAGUUUGCUUCACCUUUUAGUUUACAAUUUUACCAAAAUGCAAUAACUAGUGACCAUCUUAAACCAAUCGUUUGUUGCUGCCAUUUAUAGGAUGAUAACCACUACAAUGAUCUAGAUCAUGUCAACAGAAAGUAGGAAAAUAGGGUUUAGGGUUUGGGGCUUAGGUAAUUGAAAGCUUAUCCUCACCUUGAAAGCAGCAGCAUAUGCAGCCUGAAGGUUGGACAUGCCUUCAAAUGGCAUUUUGUUGGUCAGCAACUCCCAUAAAACAAUACCAAAGCUGUACACAUCAACCUUGUUCGUGUAAUGCUUCUUCUCACCGUGUCGCAGAGUUACAGUGCUGUACAACUGUAAUUUCAGUAGAUUUUAGAUUAUUAGCAGGGGCUUACGGCCAAAAAUCAAACCAUUUAAGAACAAGAAAUUGAAACUAUCUUUUAUAAAGAACACGGUCGUGAUAGCAACACAUGGCUUCCUAGAGAGAUUAGAGGAAAGAAAUAUAGCCUGUGGAUCACAAAGUUGACAUACAAUGUGCUUACAAGCGAUAUUUUAAUGUGUUUGGACUUUGAUUCAUUCUACUGACAUUAAAGACGAAAACCAAACUAAAGUACAGUGAAAAGAGGCUUUCACAUAUGUCCCUGCAAAAUUAAUUAAAUAUAUACCUCGGUAAACUCCGAAUCUCAAAAGUGCAGACUCUUGCAAAAAUACACUUAUCUCAAAUUGGGGAGUUAUCUAAUUCAUGGAAAAAGUUGGUUUUUUAUUAGAUAAAAUUUAUUGAAGAGAAGCAUUUCUGCAAGUACAGGGGUACAUAUGUAUGAAAGUUACUGAAGGAUGUGAAAUUUCAGAUAUUGUCAGGAUAUAGCAAACAGCUGAUUUUGCAGGGACAUUUAUGUAAAUAUCUCUAAAGAGAUUACUGACGCAUCACCUCUGGAGCCAUCCAUCGGUAAGUUCCAGUUUCAGCUGUCAUCAUCUCUGUUACAGUUUCUUCUCUAGCAAGCCCAAAAUCAACAAGCUUUACAUUUUUCUGAUUUGCAGUAAGCAACAAAUUGUCUGCACAUUUGAACUACCUUUGAUCAGUGACAUUCUAGGCAGUAAUACAUAAUUUGUUCAUAAGUCUAUCUGAAUACACAUAUGCAAUUAUGCAUUUAAUAGCAAGAAAAAACAAGGGAAAAAAGGGGGCAUCACUAGGUUUUAGGAGUAAAAAACAAUGAUAAAAUCAAGUUUGGUAUUACAAGUCUUUAAACAGACUUAUGCACCAAGAAAGUACUUAACGUAAAAUGUCUGGAUAUUAACUGGGUUAGUCUAAGGUGCCACUAGUUUCAAAAUACAAAAGUACUGCUGUGAUGCUUUAGACUAUCUAAGGAAAGUGUCACUAGAUUUUUUCUGCCUGCUGAGUCAAGAAAUAGAACGAGAAAUAGUGAAAUUAACAAACAAGUAAAUGCUCUCCAUAUUCCAAUUAAACAAAAUAGUGUUAUAACAAAUUAUAGAGAAUAGAAUACCAGAAGCAUGAAGUGCAUGCAACUUAUGUUUUUGCCUCUACGAGGCAUAAUCCUCCAAAUAAGUCAUAAAAUCUCGCAAAUAAGACUAAUCACACUAUUUCACAUGUAUAUUAAUGGUCGAAAAAAGAGAGAGCAAUCUUUAUGUGCUUUCUACAUUUUUAUCAUAUUUUUCAUAUUUAUAACUAAGAAAUCUUAACAUGAAAGAAAUACAGCAAUUUAUGCAAAAUCGCUCGCACUUUGAUAUGUUAACAUGUCAUAAAACUUAAGGAAUCUAGGUCUGUCCAAGUCUCUAUAAUUCUACUGGUAUUUAAGAAUCUUUCAAGACCCUCAACACUAAGCAUGCUGAAGUUAAAACUAAAUGAUAAAUGUCUUGUGAUUAAGGGAGAAAAAAAAGGGAAAAAAAAGAAAAAAGAAAAGAGAGAUGAUAAGCACCAGGUUUCAAGUCUCUGUGUAUUAUCCCAUUAGCAUGUAGGCACUCCAUUGCAUGAGCAAUGUCAAGUGCAAAAUUUAUUGCUGUGCGAAGAUCCAGUAUUCCGGGCUGCAUACUGCUUAAAUAUUUCUUUAACGACGUUCCUGGCAGUAGUUCACUGGCAAUCACCAUGAUUGGGUCCUUGCAGGCUCCAAUAAACUUCAUAAAAAAAGUAAUAUGAGUAUAAACUAGACUAAAUCUCUGGAGAAAUAUUAAAGCACUAAAACGAAGAAUCAAAUCAACUAAGAAAACAUGUUGCUCAGUGAACAGGAGCCAAUAAAUGAUGAAUUCAAGUUACAAAGCUGAGAAUACACCUUGACGAGGUUCUCAUGUUUCACUCUAGACAUCAUAGUUACUUCUCGAACAAAGCGAGCUUCAAGUGUAGCCCUUUCUUCAGGAGUAUCGCCACCAUUCAAAACUUUUAUUGCUACGAUUUGCUCGCCAUACCUGAUUGAAAUAAUAUCUAACGAGUAAAGACAAUUAUCUGCUGCUAAUCAUAAAAAUCUGAGCAAGUAAUUCUUUCUCAAGAAUAUUUUCAAUUUGAAUUUAAAACUAUGAUGAGUGCAAAAUAAGAUGCAUUUUCAGUUCAUAUGAAGCUCAAAUAAAUAUAGGGACACAGAUGACAGAUCAUUAAUGAAUAAAAUGUUGGUUAUGUGCUACUACAGUUUCUAUUCUUAAAAAAAAUCAUACGCAAAUAUGUCUGUUUUCCGCAGGAAUGAAGCAAAAUGUUAGAAGCUCAACCAAAUGAAUCAAGCAGAAGUGACUGACAGGGUUCACAAAACCUAAAUAAAUAACUGAAAUUUUUACCAUAUUCAUCUGUUCGAAGAACAAGCGCAAACCAAAUAUGUAUUCCGACAGAAUCCUCUUUUCAAGCCCUAACACAAAGUUUUAAUAACUGUGGCAUGAGAGCAUGCCACUGACAUGCUGGCACUGCACAUGUCAGCUCACAUGCCAUCAGCACAUCUGCUCAAAUGCUUGGCAUGUCAUAGCACAAGGAUUUUGGAGAUUUCUUCAAAAGAACAUAUAACCAUUAAAAACGCACUUGACGAGAUUGCUUGUUUUACCAAAAUACUAAAAUCCUCCUAAUUUAACCCUAUGCUCAUCAAACUCCGCCCACCAAAUGCUAAAUGAUGCUUCAAUAGAUUUGUCUUAUAUGUUAUUCACUACCCAUUAGUUUCAUGCAACUUUUACAAACUUAGUUUGAUUUGCUUAAGGUAACCGGUUAGGAUCUCACCUUAAAGGACUAGUCAGGAUCUAGUAUCUAGAUUCUUUUGUCCUACAUAGCAAGAUAUUCUUGACCACAUCCAAUUUUAGAUAUAAUAUGCUCCAAAUACAGGUCCUCACAAUCAACUAGGAAACAAAGUAUACUUUUUUUGAGUUAUAGGAGUAAACAAAUCCUCGAAAAAAAUGUAAUGGCAGCUUACACUCAAUAUAUUAAGCUAUUCACAAUCAACAAUACUAAAGAAAAGAAAGAGAAAAUUCCCAAUUAUAAGCUCAUAUGCAAAAGGAGAAAACUUCUCCACUUGAACUAAGACACAAGAAAUUUCCCAAUUUCGUCGUGAAGUAAUAAGUACUCUACCAAUCAACUAAUCAUAUUGAUUUCAGUUUAAUCGGAUAUUCCUCAACAUACCUUCCCUCGUAUACUUUCCCAUGAGCUCCCUCCCCAAUCUUCGACCCAAUAAAGAGCGACCUGGGGUUAAGAAGCAGCUUCUGAUCAAUCUCUAGUGGCUGCGGAGCGCGAAGAGCAUCCCCGCUCGUUCCAACGGAAUUAUCGGCGACUUUACUCAUCCCUACCCGUUUAAUCUCGUCCCCCUCUCUCCUCCCAUCCUUAGACUCCUCACCACAACUCAUACUACGGCGAGCUCGGCACGAGGAAGAAGCUACGCUCUCGGACUCCUCAAACUUACACAACAUACUAAACAACAACAAGAACGACAACGACGACAACACACCUUAUCUCACAUCGAUCGGCUCCGAAUCACAGCAAUCACAUCAAAAACCCUAAUUUGGGCCCCAUCCAACAAGGUUUCUCCGCUUAUAUAGGCGAUAAAGGGCUCAACACAAGGCGAAUUCGAAAGGAGAAGCGAUGCAUAGAUCGAACCAGAGAAUGUAAAGUCGGGGAAAAGCUCCGCCCAGUGAUUCAGCAGCUUCCACGUCUACUAGGAGCCCCUUUCAAGUGUCACUUCGAAGCAAAACCCUAAGCGUAACCCUAACCCUAACCCUAGAUUCUUCUUCUUCUUCUUCGUCGUCGUCGUCGUCGUCGUCGUCGUCUUCUUCUUCCUCUAUCUCUAUGGAGUUAGGAGAAGUAGUAGGGUUGUUAGAGAAGGUUUUCCGAUCAUCGGCUUAUUACUACGGCGGCGGUCGCACCCCUUUUUAUGCCGCAGAGGAUAAUAAAAAAUAAAAGAAAAGAAAAAUGAAAAAAAUAAAAAAAAAUUGGCAUUUUGCACGUGUGUCCCUCAGAAUAAUUGUAUUUCAUGUCCGCACCUUGGGAUUGAAGGUUACUAAUAAUUAAGUAUAUUAAUUAUUUUUUGACGGUAUAGUAAAAAAUAUAUUGUAAUGUGAUAUUAUGUAUACAAAUAAAUAAAAUAUUAUUUUGUAAUACCUUUUCAUCACGCAUAAUAGAAUUUUUCUGUAAUUCUAAAUGGAACCUUAAAAGUUUGAUGUCGUGUUUAAUAUGUGCAUCGCUUCUCAAUACCAUUCAAACAAAAAAAUAUGUUUGGUUUUACUUUAAAAAAUUAUUUAAAUUUUUUCUUGGUAGUAAAAUGAAAAGCUACCAAUUAAGCAACUUGCUUUAGAAGCUCAUAAUCUCAACUCUUAUCAAACAAAAGCUCUAAAUAUUUUAGUUUCUCAAAUACUCGUAAAAAAAUAAUUCUAACUAAAAAAAUAUAUAUGACCAAACUAGACUAACUCUUAUCGAACAUUAAAAUUAUACAAAAAUAAUUAUUAUCUUAUUUUUUUUACAGUAAUACUCUUAUUUUUUACAAAAUAACGAUUAUCUUUUUUUUUUUUUACAUCAAAAUUACUCUUUCUCUUUAUACCAAAGUACAUUAGAGUUUCCAUGCAACUCUAUUAUUUGGUAGAAGGUAUGAGAGCAAAUAUGUAAUUAAGAAAAUAAACAUGUAAAUAUAUCUGUAUAUUCCAAAAUUUUUAAUACAGGCGUGUGUACGUGCACUAUCAUGAAAAAAAAAUCUAGAAUAUAUUAGUUAUAUUACUAACAUGGUAUUUUAAACAAAUAAAAUUAUAUUUCUAAGAUUUUUUCGUUCCAUCAUAAUUAAUAAAAAAAAUUACAUAAUAUUUGUUUAAAAAAAUAUUAUUAAUUUAUUAAUAAUUAUGUUGUAUAAGCAUGACACUUCGCUGUACGAGAGUGUUGAAGCAUAUUCGUGUAUUCACGCGUGUGAAAAUUCGUAAAAAAGGUUUGGAGAACCAAUCAGGUACCGCCACGUCAGAUAGAGAGAGAGAGAGAGGGAGAGGGGGGGAGAAAACGACAAUUCCGGUUUCCUGCUCGUUUCCCGUCGCGUUUCCCCGCGCGAAGACCAUUUUGAGUCACGUGAUGAAUAGGGACUUAGAGGGUGACGGAUCAUCACGACCGUCGGAUCGUCUCGGACGGUCGGACCCUUUCUACGUACGGCGAUCCAAGAUAUUUUUUUUUUGUUCUGUGGGACCCACCAAGCUAACUGUAGUUUGACUUAAAGGGCUACGUGGGGGCGGCUACUGUAAUCUGGGUGGGGCCCAUCGAUUCGCUUUAAAUUUUGGGACAUUUUCAAAAGUCCCUCUUUGGUUCAAAAUAUUUAUAAUUUAGUACCACAUGGUUCAAAAUUUAAUUGUUUUUUUCUUAAUUUAUUUUAACAAUUUAUUGCUAAAAAUUUGAAAGAAUAACAAAAUACUGCACUCUAUAAUAAGUAAAUAUAGAGCUUUCCAGCUCUCUUAUAGCUACUUUUGUUUUUUUUCAAAGAACUAAAAUAAAAAUACAUAAAUAUAUAAUAAACUUCAAAUUAUAAAAAUGUAAAAUAUAAAUAUAUUAUACUGCAGGGUGCUUUUUUUAAUAAUUUUAGGGUGGUUUAGACAUUGUUUUCGAGCACUCUCGUUGGUUUAAUUAAAAAAUGGUCUCCACGCGGAAUCUCUCCGUGUUUUUAGCCACGCGGAUCAGCUGCGGCGCAAGUCUUCAUUAUAAUAAUAAUAAUAAUAAUAAUAAUAAAAUAAUAAUAAUGUACCCCCAAAAUAUCUCCUAUAAAAAAAACCGGACCGGGCCGGGAAUUUCUUGGAUUAAACAGACCCAACCCAUAAAUAUCUCGUUUGGGCCGCCCCGGUUCGGUUUAUUUGGGCUGUGGCGCGACUCACAAAAGCGAGGAAAAUUAUGGGCCGCCUCCUGGAAGAAAUUAAACCGGGCCGGUUACAUUGGGCUGGGCCUAGCCUAAAGUAGACCGAACCAAUUUGUUAUCUCACUUAACAUUGGACGGCUAGGAUUAGAUCCCGCUUCCACCACCCCACCAUAUAAAUAGUCGUCGUCGUGAUUCCUUCUUCCCGAUCCAAAACCCUAGAGGAGCGAAAUCAACGGGGACGCCGCUGCCGCUACUUCCUUCGUUGAGGCGAUCGAGACAUCCACGACAAUGGUAACGCCAAAACCCUAACCCUAGAUCCCUCUCUUCUUCUCAUGAUCUCCAUUAAUGGAAUCCCCCUCCACCCCCUUUCUCUCUCUAGACCUUCAAGCGCAGAAAUGGCGGGCGCAACAAGCACGGACGCGGCCACGUCAACUUCAUCCGCUGCUCCAAUUGCGGAAAAUGUUGCCCCAAGGUAUCAGUUUCUUAAUCACUGAAGAAUAAAACCCUAGAUCUACACCAAUGACCCGAAUUAGAUGCUCAAGCUCUAUUUAUUUUGCAAUUUUAUCUCUUUUGCUUUUGGGAUUCGAUUAAGGACAAGGCCAUUAAGAGGUUCAUCGUGAGGAAUAUCGUCGAGCAAGCCGCUGUGAGGGACGUGCAAGAGGCCUGCGUAUACGACGGUAUGUGUUUUACCUAUAUCUACUUAAGUUCUCAUGCGAAAAUACCUACUCUAGUACUAUCUUAUUUUUAGUUUCAAUUUGAUCCGCACAACUUGAUUUGAUUUAACAAAGUAUCCACUAAUUCACCGAAGUUAGGAUUUUCAUACCAAACUAAACUCUGGUUGUUUGCAUCAAACAAAAGCGAGUGAUAUUAGAUGUUUACUAAGGUUUAGCUUGUUUUUAUAUCAAUAUGAGCCAUACAGGUUGUUUGAUUCAAGUUAGGCUUUUUAGAUAAAGUCAAACCUCGUGGGCCGAAUUGAGCUUUUUGGAUCAAAUGGAAUACUAGAUAACUAGUAGGUUCUCUUUAACCAAAUUAAGCUUUAUGGGUAAGUUGAAAUGGAAAAUAAGUUAUUGGGCUUCUUGUGCAUUAGAUUAAAGUUUGUGAGUUGAAAUGCAAGCAUGAAAGAAUUAGUGGGUUUUUGUGAUCCUAACCCCUUUAUUGAAUGUGGACAUCUUUUUAAUUGUUCUAACCCUUCGAUCACCUGACUUCAAUUUGUUGACGUGGAAAAUUUUAUUGCUCCUUGUCUUUCCAGGUUACAUUCUUCCAAAGCUCUAUGCUAAGAUGCAGUACUGUGUCUCCUGUGCCAUCCAUUCUCAUGUCGUUAGGGUCAGAUCCCGAGAGGCAAGGAGGAACCGUGAACCUCCUCAACGUUUCAGGCGCAGGGUAAUUCCUCUAUACUUAUGAUUUAGAAUACUCUAUUGUUAGAAAAAUUUUGUUAUUCAUUAAUUGCUUUUAAGUAAAUAUGCAUUAAUGAUUGGUUUUCAAAGUGGUUUUAUCAGAAAUAGAAUUGUCGGAAUGUGAAUGAAAUUCCUUGUCUAAUGUUUUCUCUUUCAUUAUAAAAUUAGUUACUUGCACAGAAAUAAGUUUCUUUUAGUUGCAAAGAGUUUUGUUCUAUUUUAUGGUAAUCCUUGUUGGCUGUUAUUGUUACCUCUUUACUUGUGUAAUUCAUAGGGUUUUUUGGUUUAUCGCUUUUGCUAGGCGUUGCGUUCAUUGGGUCUUUUUCUGUAAUGGACGCGUCAACAAAAGCGUAAAUUAACAUUUCAAAAUGGCACAAUGCGGACUGUUUUUCUAUGACUAUUCAUUUUCCUAGUUGUUAUCACCCUGCUUGUGCUCAUUUCUAUAAUUUCUUCCAUCUAUCUAUUGCACAAAACAAAUGGGUUUUUGAUGCUCUUUAGUGAGUGAGAAGUUGAGCAUUUGCUUUAUUCCCUAGGUUAAGUGAAAAUUCACACAUGAUUUAUGAAUUUUACAAAUCUGUGGAGACUUUUUUGCUGCUUUUAUUCAAAUAGGUGAUUAAACGUCCCACGUCAGUCUUAUCUUUUGAAUCAUAUGUAAUGUUUUUUACACUUUUUUCUGGCCUGUUUGCAUGGGCAUCUAGUGUCUUUAAUAUUNGUGGGUCAACUACUCAGUAAGAAGAACCACAGCUUUGAGGACCAAAAUACCGAGGUUGGAUGCGCGUGAGAAGACCUACUCCUACUCAUCUUUUUUCGAUUCAUUCUAUUCCUUCAGACCCAGCAAUCUCCGAUAAAGACCCGAAAAGCUCCGCAUCCGCUAACAUUUUAAUAUUUUUUUUUUUUUUUUUCCUUUGAGACCGGAUGUCUGGCCCAUUGGCUGAUUCCCGGUACCUCUGGGAUUAACCGGUCUCGCAUAUGUGAUCUCCAUCCUCUUCACUUUGUCAGCUAAUGUAGUUCCAUUUUUAGCUGAUCAUUAAAGAUGGGACAUUUUUCAAAGGAAAAUAUUUGAAGGAAGUCCUUUCUUUUUGGUGAAGUAUAAUUCAAGCGAGGUCAAUCUCAUAACAUCUCUGUCGUUCACAGUUAUGUGAUCUCAACACAUCAUUGGCAAAAUAUUUUUUCUAAUUAAAACUUAUUUGGCAUAAUUGCAUAUUUAAUACAGCAGCGUCAAUUAUGUUCUUAAUUUAAAUUAUAAGAAUUAGAUCCUUGAGGUCUGCAAUAGAAUUGAGUCCUUCGGUUAGUAUACUAUAGAGUGGGCACCAUGUCAUUGCCGGAGGUUGCUGAGAUGGGAGGUUUUGAGGUAAUCAUUGAGAGCUGGUGAUGCUAACAUGUGAUCUCUUAGAUUGGUUGGUUAAUAAAAGGACUUUGUUGUUAUACAAAGCAAAUUUCUUGGUACAAAUUGCUCCAAGGACAUGGUGGCAACAGAAUAUUCCAUCAAGCAACAUAAUAUUCUGUUAGAUGAUAGAAUAUUCUGUCAAGUCUAAUAUACUACAAUAUUAGGCAUUACAGUCAAAAUUGUUGAAACUAAUGUUUCGAUUGUAAAAUACGUAAAGGCUCUGCAUUUUUAACUUAAUACUUUGCAUCCCAGGCUCAUAUAUAACAUCAAACUAUUGUAUUAUAUUUUGUAGGAUGAUCCAGGGAGGCCGGGGCAACCCCCACGUGCAGCUGGAGCUCCUACCGCCGCCCGCCCGUGAUGUUUCCUUGGUUCCAUGCUUGAUACCUGCUACAAGAUCAGUUGCUUUGUCUUUCAACUCCUUCCUGAAUCUUAAAAUUGUGUUUCGUGAGGGUCAAUUUUGUUUAGUGUUACAUGUGACAAAAAUUGAUUCUAUUCUAUUUCGUCAAAACCUGUUUUAUUGCGUUCAUGAUUCUUGAAGAUCUUGUUGGAUAUUUACUGGCUUUCUAAUAUGAUUUCGUCAUCCGUGUAGGAAUGGCUUGUAGAUUGCUGCGGGUGAAAUUUUGGUUAUGGAUGUUGAAACUAGUGAUCAUCUGUCCUUGUGUUUGAUGAUUCUUUGUUAGUUGUAUGAGAAGAUUGUAUUUUGAUCUCACUUGUGCUUUUAAAGAGAUCAAGCUUCGUGCGACGCAAGAAAUUUACCAUCAAGGUAUCUAGAGAAAAAAUAAAAAAUAAAAAUCACACUUAUCCACAAAUUAAAUAUUCGAGUAAUAAGAAGAUACUUAUACGGAGAGAGAUUGAAGUAUGAGACAUAACUAAUGCAUGAGAUGCAAUGUGAAAAGCAUCUCAAAUUGAAAGCAUCUGUUUAUUUUUAAUUCUGGCUUUGUUGAACUGUUCUUUAGAAACACAAUAUUUAUACAACAACGUGUACGUCAGUAUGUGCAAUUCAACACCAACAGGGAAAUUAAUUAAGCAUGGAUUAAUUGUUAUUAAUUGUCGUGCUGAUCCAAAACCAUUUGUUCUAUUUCUAUUCAACCCCCAGGAAUCUUUCAAACCUGCACCAUAAACGUACAAAAAUAUAUAUUAUGUAUAUUCAUCAUAAGGCCAUGUUAGCUUAGCUAAUAUCUCCAAAGACGAAGACAAAAUAUGUAGGCCCUUCGAUUGAUAAGUAAUUAUUAAACUAAAUUUCUCUAUAUAUGCUGGCACCGAGAGUUGAGUUGGUGCAUGCCCUUCAUUGCUUUAAUCUCUCAACACCUUCACAUUGCUAUUUCCUGUUGCCUUCUUUCUUUCUCCGCCCUUCGGUAUGUAUACAAUGAUUUAUUUUUCCUCGAAACAACUUAAAUUAUUUUGAGAUUAUCUUUUUCUGUUUAGGGAUAGGGAAUUCAAUUAAUUAAGUGCAUUUAAUUGCAUGCGCGCAUAAGCUAGCAUAUUAUCGUUUAAUUUGUUUGCCAUACAUAAAUAUGCUUUACUCUUGAGUUUAAUGGGAACUUGCAUACAUACGUAUGUAUACCAACGAAUGAAUAGUACAUGCAUGCAUGGCAUGUUCCUUUUCUCAAAUGUCAAGUAAUUAAAUGCGUAUAAGGGUGAACCAAAAAAAUCUUCGGUUUAUGAGCAAUUUGUUCAUAGAAAAUAGAAGAUUCAGAGAUUAAGGAUUUGAUGCACUUUGAUUACCUAUAUGUACCCGGUUGAUUGCUACUGUUUCCUCUAUUUGUCACCUUCUAACUUUUUUGUCAUUAAAUCAAGUAUCUAAUUUUUAUGUUUUAUCGCUUUCAUAUAUUCUUCAAAACAUCAGAGAAUAGUGGAAUAAAGAAUGUUGGUAGCCUCGACCCGCAAAUUAUUCAGUCUAUUUUGUGAUGGACAGUGUUUAUUAGAAAUUUACAUGUGAGUAGUUUCGCAUCACAUAACUAAUUUAUUAAAGAGUAAAUGAUUGAUAUAUCGUAAUGGAUCUUGACCUAAUAAGUUUUAAGCAUUUAAGGCUAGAUGAGUUACAGUAAAUAUGCCAUAUUCUUUUUCUUUUUCUUUUUCUUUUUUUUUUGAGAGAUAGGUAGCACGCUACCCGCUUCGUUUAUUUCAUUUAGAAAUAAACUUAGCUGUAAAUAUGAAUCAACUUAACUUGGGUUUCGGGUACCAAUCACUAAAUCCUUUGCCACUUGCUCUAGGGACAGUGCCAUAUUCUUGGAUCUAUAUUCUUGGAUCCAUGUGGACUUAGGAUGAAUUGCGACUCUCCUAAUAAGCAGUAUCAGAGGCGAUAGUUUGGCAAUUUUAGAUUACUCGCUUAUAUGGUAUGGUUGAAUCGAGUUACUAGCUCACAUGAACAUGAUGGACUAAUGGAAGGAAGUCAAUUUAUAUAAUGCGAUAUGAUGGCUUAACGCAAUCAAAAUAGUUGGGUCAACAAAUUAAGCAUGUGUUAGGCAUAUAAACUCACGAGAGGGGCGUAGGUUCGAUACAUCGGCUUGGACGAUGAUCAGUGGAUUCGCAUUAGGUUUAGUGCAAUGUUUGAGGAGAUUGUUAAAAAUUUAUACAUAAUCAGUCUCGCCCCAAAUAACUAAUAUAAAACGUAAAUAAUCAAUAUAUACAUACUAAUGAACUGAAAGCUAAUUAUACACCAAAAUUUUUUGGUUUAAUGUGUUCUGCUAAAUUUAUCACAAUCUUAGAUCUACGAGACUUUGAUAAGUAUCGCACAAAGGUGCUGGCAAUUGCAUGGUGGCGACGGCAAUCAAUUGAUCAUCUUAAUUAUGAGCGUAAUGCAUUGUCAUAAAAAUUUAUAAUCAUAUCGACCUACCAAUAAACUAAAAAUCAAACUGUUGCAGUCACAAAAGAUUUAUAAUCUCUAUGCUAGGCAAAUUAUAGGCAGCUAGUUUAAAUUCUUAAGAAAAUGCUAUUCUUACAAACCACUUCUACAAUAAAUUUCUAAUUUAAAAUUUAGUAGUUACGUUUUUAUUCUUUGUCUUACGAACUACAACAAUCACCUCAUGAAUGAUACCAUUUUGCCAAUUAAAAAUGGGUUGGUAAGGAAAUAUAUUAAAAAUUAUAAAAUUUAUCUGUAAGUAUAGCGUUACUUAAAUUCUUAGGAGCUGCAUAUAUGGGCUGAAGAGUGCUACAAUCAUAUUCACAGUUGCAGAGCACGUCGAGUGCAAUUUCGAAGUCCACGAAACCACGGCCCAUAAAAGACAAACAAGGUGGCCCAUUGAUGGGAGAAGAUUAGGUUGAGCUUAUGGGUCGGGCUUCUCCCACACAACCCAAAUUAAUGGGCCUAAUAUAUGUUUCUACUGGGUUGGAUCGACCACGUACAUCCGAACCCGAAAUUUAUUUAUAUAAUAAGCCCAGGCGUACGUGCUCUCGUUUUCACCAUGCAUGCAAUUAGCUUAAAGAGAAAUAAUAAUGCAUGCCCUAGCUAGCUAGGGGUUGCGUUGAUCAAGUAGAUCAACCUACCUGUGGAAGGUGCCUGAGGGGCCGGUGAGGGAUUCUCUCUCCCUCUCUCUCUCUCUCUUCCCCUCCCUAAAGGGUGAUAGAGACUCUCUCUCUCUCUCUCUCUCUCUCUCUCUCUCUCUCUCUCUGUGAGACACACACACGCUCUUCUCUAUAGAGAGAGAGAGAGAGAUCUCACAACACCCGCUUCUCUCUCUCUCUCAUACGCAAACACUUCUCUAGAGAGAGAGAGAGAGAGAGAGAGAGAGAGAGAGAGAGGUCACACAUGACACACCCACCCACCCACCUCUCUCUCUACCUCACACACACAUCUCUCUAUUGAGAGGAGAGAGAUCUCAAACAUACCCGCCUCUCUCUCUCUCUCUCUCUCUCUCUCUCUCUCUCUCUCUCAUAGGCACACACUUCUUUAGAGAGAGAGAGAGAGGGUCACACACACCCCCACCCACCUCUCUCUCUACCUGACACACACUUCUCUCUAUGGAGAAGAGAGAGAACUCUCACAUACCCGGUUCUCUCUCUCUCUCAUACGCAAACACUUCUCUAGAGAGAGAGAGAGAGGGUCACACACACCCCCACCCACCUCUCUCUCUACCUGACACACACUUCUCUCUAUGGAGAAGAGAGAGAACUCUCACAUACCCGGUUCUCUCUCUCUCUCCCUCCCCCCCAUACACACACACUUCUGUAGAGAAAGAGAGGCUCACACACGCACCCACCCACCUCUCUCUCUACCUGACACACACUUCUCUCUAUGGAGAAGAGAGAGAACUCUCACAUACCCGGUUCUCUCUCUCUCUCCCUCCCCCCCAUACACACACACUUCUGUAGAGAAAGAGAGGCUCACACACGCACCCACCCACCUCUCUCUCCCUCACACACACGCACACACACUCUUCUCUAGACAGAUAUCGAGAGAGAGAGAGAGGGAGAGAGAGAGAGGUGGGUGUGAGAUCUCUCUCUCUCUCUCUCUCUCUCUCUCUCUCUCUCUCUCUCUCUCUCUCUCUCUCUCUCUCUCUCUCUCUCUCUCUCUCUCUCUCUCUCUCUCUCUCUCUCUCUCUCUCUCUCUCUCUCUCUCUCUCUCUCUCUCUCUCUCUCUCAUACACACACACACUUCUCUAGACAGAUAUCGAGAGAGAGAGAGAGAGAGAGAGAGAUCUCACACACAUACCCCCACCUCUCUCUCUCUCCCUCACACACACACACACACACACAUUCUCUCUCUCGGAGAUUAAGUUGGUUGAUUUCUAAAUAGACACAAAAUUGACUCAUGCCCUAUCCUUUAUUCAAAAGAGAAGAACACUGCUACGCUUAAUUAUCUCAAGUUCCUUUAGAUAUGGAAACGGCAUAAUCAGUUAAUUAGCUAGUGCUUUUUUGGUAAACUUUUUAAAUAUUAAUUAGUCUUAUUCAACCACCGCGGUUUCUUACCUCAUCGAUAUAAUUGAGGGAAAGCCUUCUAGGGCACGCACAAUCUAAAAAUGUUACUUAUUCUCAAUUAAUCAUUAAUUAAUUAGAAGCUACUUUGUCAACACAAAUGCAUUGUCAUCAAACACAAAUAAUAAGAAAGCAAAGGACAAGUACUGUAAUCAAUAUUCAGUAAUAUUAAUUACUGCAAAAGACAAUGUAGUCAAGUUACAGAAUCCUGCAAACGACUUAGAAAUUACCACAUUUAUUUUUUCACCUAUAAAUUUGUAUAGAGCCCCACCACAAACAGGAUUACAAGACACUAACUAUACAACAACAAAGCCAAUGUCCUCCUAAAACCUUUCGGAAAACAAAGCCAGUAUUGAUCGAUCGCCUAUUAUAUGUGGAGACAGAUAAAAUAGACCAAAACAACAUUAACGAUGACAACAACAACAACAUAUCUAGCAAUCUUUCAGAAAAACUCUCUCUGAGAUCCCCCGUAGACAACAUUUUGGAAGUAAAUAAUCACAGUAAUUAUGUGUAGCUCGAAACCGAGAUUAUCACUUCCAUUCAUUUGGUUAUGUAUGAUGGAAGUGAUAAAUUGAAGUUUUGAUAGAAGUCCACUUCUAUCUGAAAAUUCAAUUUUUAUGUUAUGUCGACUUACCCCCAACGAAACGUUCCCUUGGCUAAGAUAGCACGAUGAAGAGCAUCACCGCCCCGGCCAGGAUCAUAACUAGCUGCAGCAACAAACUAACAGAGUAAAAUAUUUCAACGAUCGAAGCCCACAUUUCACCGUGCGGCGGUUCAAACAUGAGGCCUAUCCAGAUCAGGCCGGAUUCGAUGGCCAAUAGCUGGAAGAAUGCGCACACCUUUAGCCCUAAACUCAUGUAAUAUUGCUGUGGUGCAAUCCCCACACUCUCCACGCAUAUGAAUGCUAGUAGGCCACCAUUGACUGAGAUCAGCAUUGCAAUGCCGUUCCUCAUCACACCCGCAUAGCGUGGGUCAUGGUAUAAGGGUCGAGCACUAGUUGGAUUUCUCAGGCCGAUACCCAGAUACUCCUGGAUGAAGUAUACGAAGAUAGGGAUGAGCGCCAGCGAGAACACGCCCACGACUAAGGUUUCCAAGAACUGCAUGGCGAGCGCAGCGGCUGAUAGCCCGAGGAGGACCAAAAUAGCAGUGCUGCUGUAUCUCACAAAGCUUGAAAGGCUCCCUCUCCAAAAGGAGUAAUGAGCAGUUAAGGGGAUGGAGGUAACCAUCAUAACAAAGAUGCCAACCAUGGUGAUCAGGAAGAAGAGACUCAGCGCAAGUUGGAAACUUUGCAAUGCUUGGAGGGGAGGGCUUUUGAAGGAAGCAUAAAUCAUACCCGUUUGUACUGUGAUGGCCAUAGUUGCCAUAGCAGUAGCGAACUUGAAGGCCUUCUUUUGCUCCGGUUUGUAGCUGUUGAUCGAAGAUGCACAACAUGCAUGUUAAUUGAAAAUGUUGUUAAGCCUAGGCUUUUAGAGGCAGCUCCCAUCACCCCUCAAAAAUGAUAUAAAUAUUAGAUUAGCUGAUUCCGUUAUCUAUUAGUAAGUUUACCGAUGAAAAAAUGACCUAAGCUCAUGUAUAUAUGUUUCAAAUUAAAGAGAAAAUUACAGCUUACUUUUUACAUGAACAUGUAGUUCUUCAACUUUUCAAAGCAAAACUUAUUUCCAGCAUUCGAUACUUUUUUAACAAAUAGAAUUAGAGAAACAUGUUAAUGCCAAGUUUUUUUGUCAAAAAAAACACUAAAUUUAGUACCCGAGUCUUCUCUCUGAAUAAACUUGACACGCAAUAACAGCACAAGCUAAUAUAUAAUUUGAUACAUUUAUAAGAAGUUCAUGAGAUGCUAAUUCAGUUCACCUGAGAAGAUCAUUAAGCUAAUAGUACUAUCGAAAUGUAUAAAAACACAUAAUAUAUAUACCUUUCAUGGUUGGCACUGUCGUGGUCGUUAACAUUUUGUGUAGCCCUAUAUCCAAGGAAGCAUAUGAUAGCUAUCACAGGAAUUACAAUAAGACUCAUCCCUGCACUGUCCUUGCUCAGGAGUACUAUGGAGAAAAAGCUUGUCACAAUUAAAAGUACACAAGAUGUGGUAAUCCCGCCUAUGAGAUAUAUCUUCUGGUUUCGGUUGAUUCGAUUAUAAUGCCCAAAGAGAAAAAAUGCGUACAGCAACAACAAGAUGGGGGAUUGAAGAGUGGCCCAGAUGAGGAAAUUGUAGGCUUUGAUAACUGUGGAGGAAUGCAUGGCUCUUAUAUCUUUGGUUCCGUUCAAAAAUGCUAAGAGUAUUACAAAAGCCAUGGUUAUUUUCACACCCGAGAAAGCUAUGAUUCGCUUCAACUGGUCCCUAACUACUUUAAUUUUCUGUUCAUUUUCUCCUUCAUUGUCUUCUCCCUGUUGGUUUAUCUGCAGUUACGUCAAACAAGUAGUAAGUGUUUUGUAUAUACAUACAUAUAUAUGUAUGAUUAAUUGAUAUGCAAAUUAGAGGCCACUGGAAAUUAGCAAACAUAUUUAGAAGAUAGAGAUUGAAAGAGAGCUUCAUUAUAUAUUUAUAGAUUAGGCACCAUGAGAUAAUUCAUUAACCAAAAAAUUUACUAUUGGUAGGCUUAAAAGUUUUAUCACGAAAAUAAAGAUGAUGAUUUGAGAAAUAUAAAACUUAUAGAUGCAUCACAGGCUUAUUUUUACUACAAGACUCAAAGAUCAUCAUAUCACAAGCUUGUAAACCCACAUCCAUAUGGCUGUAAUUGAGAUGAAAAAUAAACAUUAACCCACCAGUGUAGUUAGCUUAGUUUUUGAUUGGUCUUGUCUCAUGAAAAAAGUUUUGGAUAUACUUAGCCACUAUGGCAGGGUAUAUAGUUUUAAGUAAUACCGCCAAAUGGUACCAUAAUAACCCAUACGAAUGGUGAAUUACGAAUUCAUAAUUAAUAUUAUUUGAACCUGCAGUGAUGAUGCUUAGGAAACAGUAAAUCUUAUCCUGAUAUAUUAAACAGGCCACAUAAUUUGGAAAAUCUUUUGGUCAAAAUCCAUUGGAUCUGAUUAUGGUGAAUUCGGUAUCGGAUGUGGCCAUAAGAGAGAACGAGAAAUUAAUCAGAUGAAAUACUAAAGAAAAGAGAAGAAGCACGUGUGAUGUGAGCUCGAGAAGAUCUUUAGUGAAGGGUUUAAUAAGCUAAAAACAAUACACAUAAGAGAGAGAGAGAGAGAGAGAGAGAGAGAGAGAGAGAGAGAGAGAUGCGCACGAAGAUAUAUAGCGACCUAAAACCCUACCUUUUCAAAAAAAAAAAAGAAAAAAAGAUAACAUAACUUGAUUUUGGAAAGAUUUUUUUUUCCAUUCUUUUGAUUGUAUUAACCUCAUAAAAGAAAAUGAUAAACAACUCAUGGAUGUGGAGCUGUUAUAAAUUCAUGUUUGGAAAGAAGAAAAGAAAAGAAAUAGCUGAUAAAAGAGAAAUAUCAGAUCUACAAUCAAACAAAGAAGCAGCAAGUGAGAGAUAAAGAGAGAGAGAGAGAGAGAGAUGCGCCACAAAAUAUAUAUAGCCAAUUAAAAUAAACCCUUUUGAAAAAAUUGAAAAAAACACCUAUAUUGCAGAUUUAUAUAUCAUCUGUGACCAUAACUUGAUUUUGGAAUGAUUUUUUUCUCUUUUUCUUUUGAGUGCAUAAACCUCACAAAAGAAAACAAAGAACAAUCAUCUGAUUUGGAGCUUUUAUAAGUUCAAAAAGAAAAAACCCCUAAAAACUUGCAAGCAAACAAAUAGCUGAUAAAAGGGAAAUAUGAUGAAACUUUUGAUGAAAUGAAAGAAAUCAUCUGAUGUGGAGCUUUUAUAAGUUCAAAAAAAAAAAAAAAAAAACCCCUAAAAACCUGCAAGCAAACAAAUUGCUGAUAAAAGAGAAAUAUGAUGAAACUUUUGAUGAAAUGAAACAAAUCAUCUGAUGUGGAGCUUUUAUAAGUUCAAAAAAAAAAAAAAACCCUAAAAACCUGCAAGCAAACAAAUAGUUGAUAAAAGAGAAAUAUGAUGAAACUUUUGAUGAAAUGAAACAAAUCAUCUGAUGUACGCUUUUAUAAGUUCAAAAAAGAAAAAAAAACUCCUAAAAACCUGGAAGCAAACAAAUAGCUGAUAAAAGAGAAAUAUGAUGAAACUUUUGAUGAAAUGAAACAGCAGCUGCAGGAGCAGAAGAACAAGACCUGCAGAGUAACUGAAUGAGAUUCCCGAGACAUUUGGUGAAAUGAAGGAGGCUCGCAAAGUAAAGGAAAAAGCUCCUCUUCCUCUUCUUCUUCUUCUUCUUCUUCCUCCUCUUCUUCUUCUUCUUCUUCUUCUUCUUCUUCUUCUUCUGCUAUUAAUUUAUAUGGUCAUUGUACCAAUUGCCCAUGGUGAGUGGUGGUGGUGGUGCGGGGGGGCGGGGGAGGGGGAAAUUAUGUGCGGCACAUUCGCAUGCGACGAAGAAGCUACCGCCGUCGGAUUGCUCCCACACGAAUCUCAAAGCACAGCGUGGGGCACGGAACGUGCCUCCCAUGGAUGCCUUCGCAAUUAAAUCUUUUCCUUCCCCUGUUGGUGGGUCCUCUAGCCAAUAGUCGGUGCGGAAAUUAAACCCCUUCUUUUGACCAUUAAUGUAUAUAUAUAAAAGAAUUAUGCUUUCGUAUAUCAACUUUUUAAUGUAUAUAUAUAUAUGUUACAAUUUACAGCUCAAAUUAAAACUAACUUCUCCAAAGUUCUUUCCCUUAUUACUUUUUAUUAAUCCAACAGGAAUUAAUAAUCUAAACACUAGAAGGGAAGUGUCGUAAUUAAAACAGACAUGCCAUUUUUCUCUAUAUAAAAUAAAACAAAAAUUUGAACACAAUUGAGCAUUGUUACGUCCAUAACCCACAGUGGAUUGUUAACCUACAAACAUCCAAUUCAAAGCCCACUUUUGCUCUAUAGGUCUCAACACUCUUAAUUUUAUUUUAUUUUUUUUAACUAAAAAGCAAAUUAAGGGAUUAGUAAACUCUAGAACCCUUGAAUAAAGAACUGCAGAUAUUACAACAUCUUUUUGAUUGUAGACUUAGCAUAUUAAUUUCUUAACAAUAAGAGCAUCUCACACCUCUCUCUCUCUCUCUCUCUCUCUCUCUCUUCUUCCCCUUGANUUUUAUUUUAUUUUUUUUAACUAAAAAGCAAAUUAAGGGAUUAGUAAACUCUAGAACCCUUGAAUAAAGAACUGCAGAUAUUACAACAUCUUUUUGAUUGUAGACUUAGCAUAUUAAUUUCUUAACAAUAAGAGCAUCUCACACCUCUCUCUCUCUCUCUCUCUCUCUCUCUCUCUCUCUCUCUCUCUCUCCCCCCCCUUGUUGCCCCUACAUAUUUUAGUUUGUUGACUCAUUCCGCAAAUCAUGUGAGAAACCCUAAUACGUUCUACUACAAGAUAAGGAUAAAUGUUUGUCUUGAAGUUAAUGUGUUGGUUUUAAAUAAAUUUGACUCAAAUUCGGUAACGAAUUAUAUAUUUUGAAAGAAAAUUAUUUUUCCAAACUACAAAUAGAAUAAAUAACAUCACAUAUUUGGAUAUUUUAGAAAGGAAAAUGCUUGGAUCCUCCAUAAUGUUGUACUUAUAUAUUACUAAUAUAUUAGCAAGUAUAAUAUAAUUUACAGAGAGAAAAACAUAAUAUAAAAAUUUUAAUUUGUUCAUACAUACUCUCAAAAUUUAUAUAAAUUUGUCAAUAAUAUAUAAGAACAAUUAAUAUUGUUUAUAGCAUAUAUACUAUUGCACUAGUCUUUUUAAAAUUUUCUUUUACGUACAUAUAUAGGUUGCAAAAGAUUGGCAUACAUUUUGCACGUAAUCGUGAGAUCAUUAAUAUAAUACACGGCUAUGAUUUCAUUUUUCUCCAGCUGAAGAAUAUGUGUACAACCUACACAUAAUAUGCAUGCAUCAAAAUUAUGUUAAUACAAAAGAAGAUUGGGAUUAAGCAAUAUGCUAGGUUUUCAACCCAUUUUAGGUUGCAAUUCUAUAUCUACUAUAAUCCCGAAGUCACUUUUUCUUUACAAGUCUUAUCAUUUUUCUUUUAAACUAAAAACCAAGAAAAGAAUAGUAAACCCUACAAUUCUCGGAUGGGGUUUUAUAGAGAUUAAAGACACAAAAGUUGAAGAAUCUAUAUGUAGAAUAAUAUCAUGGUUGAACAUACAUGGGUUCUGUCAUCUGUGAGGCACCUACUGUGUGCAAAUGUGAACAUGGACCCCCCACCCACACAUAAGAACAAGAUGAGGUGAGAGACUUUCACUGUGCGUUCCAACAUGGCUCUGAUUUUGUUUUCUCUCCUUUUCUUCUGCUUAAAAAUAACAAGAAAAGAUGGAACUUCAACAUCAAUCUCCACCUCCUCUUUUUUUUCUUUUCUUUUUUCCUCUGAGAGACUCUCCAUCAAUAUUGUUUUGAAAAACCAAAAAAGUCAAAGUCAUAGCUUUAAGAUUCGAGCCCAGGUCCAUUACUAGGUCGCUAGGUUGAAAAGCCAAAGCGCAUAAUUUUGAGUGAGUCCACGUACGGGCGUCACACAUGCAUCAUCCAUUUGAGUGUCCCUUCUAAGUAGGCGUCGUUGAAAAGCCAAAGUACAUAUUGAAACAAAAAGAAAUAAUUAGCUUGCUCGUGAGAGAUGUGGCAUCAUCUUCUACAUGCUUUGAAUUCCGAUCGAGUCGUAUUUGGUUUCAAGAAAAAGAAAUAAACCCGACUGGACUAGUGCUAUAAACAAUAUAUAUAUAUAUAUAUAUAUAUAUAUAGAGAGAGAGAGAGAGAGAGAGAGAGAGAGAGAGAGAGAGAGAGAAUCUUAUAAGCUACACAAAUUAAAAGAUUUUAAUUUAAUUUUUUUUUUUCCUUCCAAAAGUUUUAACUUCAAGUAUUUAAAGUUAUUUGCAAAAAUAAAAAAAAAAUCACGAAUUUUGAACACUUGCUUCUAUAGAUUAUUUUGUUUUGUUUUGUUUUCCUAAAGAAACCAGAUGCUUUGACAAAGAUAAAUAUAGGCUUCAAGAAAGCUAAGGUUGCUGAGAAGCUGGUUCAUUCACUAUGACCCAUCUUUAUCUUUGUUUUCUUCACAAGCCAAAAUAAUUCAACGCAAAAUCAGGCCCACUAAAGCUUUCAAAAUGGUCUUGUAUGACUAUGAAUUAGGUUUUACAUAUCUAAUCUUUCAUGCCUUUACAUAAGGAUAUAUUUGGGAAGUUUUUAAUUUGCUCUAGGUUACGAUUCGGUACUUAUAAUUAACGACAUCUUACUGUUUUUGGUUGAAUAAAUUAAGCUCUUCUUCGAUCGAUCAUAACCCUUAUAGAAGGGAAAAAAAAAAAAAUCCAAAUAGGAUCUUGGACACGAGAAAAUCUACAUUGUAACACUUACAUCACAUCAUCUAUUCUCAGCCAAUUACAUCACUUUUUUAAAAAGUAAAGUAUAAUAAAAAUAUUUUUUUAAUAAUUAUGAUGGAAUAGAUGAAUUUAAGAAAAAAAAUCUGAUUAAUUAAAAAUAUUAUAUCAGAAACAUCACUGGUAUAUUUUAAAAUUUUUUCCUUGGCCACACCAUACACGGAAGUACAAGGACGUGUAGGGCAAGAAAAUCAAGCAGGUAGAUGCUGCAGGGGUUGUUGGAUCUCUCGCUUUCGCGACUAAGUUACAUGUGGCAUGCAGCAUGGGAGGGGCCCAUUCUUUUGUCAAACUCCACCACUUGUAUUAAUUCCAUGAUGAAAUAGACUUCUUCUUUUUUUUUUUUUCUUUUUUUUUUGUGCCAAACUCCACCACUCGCAUAUUGAAAUAGAGAGCAGUACAUUAUUCAAGAAUAAUUUAGAGAAUGUUUUAGUAUGAUUUUAUGUAAGAAGUUCAAUAUUUUGCUUCUUUAAAAAUUUUACUGUCUAUGAUUUAUUAGGAUAGUAUAUUUUAUCUUUGAGGUGAUUUAUUUUAUUAUGAAAAAAUGACUUAAAAUCUAAACAUCAAUUUUCUUCUAAAUAUUUGAUCAUAAUCCUUAUUAGUCGAAAGAUAGUCAAGCGGGCCGUUAGUUUCAGUAAUUUAAUUGCAUGUUGGAACAACUUAUUCGGCACAAAGUUUUUCUUGUGUGCUAAAUUUAUUUUUACUUCUUGAUUGGAAUUUUCAUCCAUAAUAUAUAUAUAUUUUUUUUGAGAAAUAGGUAGCACACUAUCCGCUUCGUUUAUUUCAUUUAGAAAUAAACUUAGCUAGAAAUGUGAACCAACUAGGAUUCGAACUUGGAUCUCGGGUACCAACUACCAAGCCCUUUGCCACUUGCUCUAGGGGCAGUCGGUAUUUUCAUCCAUAAUUUGAUUAGAUAACAUAUUUCACUUGCAAAAUGAUUUAUUUUAUUCCGAAAAAUUGAUUAGAAAGUUGUAGUGAGUAUACAUUAAUUUCAUUGUCUUAUUUUAGGGUUUAAUCACAUUAUAUAUUGCCUUAUAUAUAAGGUCUUAUAUUUUAGGGAUUAGAAAGUUGUAGUGAUUCACUAUAUAUAUUGUCUUAUUUUAGAUGUUUAAUCACAUUUCUUAUCACCAAAUGCUACGAUUUCUUGAGAAAAUUAAAAUUACAUCCAGAAUAAGAACUUGGUGAUCGGUACCCGAGGUUCCAAGUUCGAAUCCUAAUUAAUUCACAUUUCCAGCUAAGUUUAUUUCUUAAUGAAAUAAACGAAGCAGGUAGCGUGCUAUCUAUCUCUCUCUCUCAAAAAAAAAAAAAGACCUUAAUCAAAUCACUAAUUAAUUUGCAGUGAGUAUAUAUAUAUACAUUAGUUUUAUAUAAUGUCAUCCUAACGAAGAAGAAUCCUAAUAACAACCGGAUAAUUAAGACAAAUUAAGACUCAACUUGUGAAUAAAAGAUACCGGCUAUGGGCGCACAAUAACCUGUAAGAUAAAAAUAAGAAACAAACUCUUUUAACUUAUAUCAUGCACCUAAUAAUUUUUUGACCCUAUCAAUAUCUUUUAGAUAAUUAACCAAGUGGCAAAGUACUGAAUGGUUCGUAUCAUAUUUCUAAUUACUUCAUAUUUUAAUUAAAAUUAUUUUUUUAAAAAAAUGAAUAAAAUAAUAGUAUGCUAUCAUUCUAGAAACCAUGCACGAAUCAGAUUCCGGCUCGAAUCUCUGAGCCCAUUGAGGUGUCAAUUAGAAAUUUUGGUUUACUUAAUUACCGUAUAGUAGUUUACUAACUCUACGCGGAGAGUGUGGGGACGUCGCACAUUAACAUACAAGACCAAAGAAAAUUUUUUAAAAAUGAAAAUAAUAAUAAUAAAAAAAAAAACAAUUGAAAGAUAUAGAGUAUGUGUCUCCCUCAGCGUCACGCGUAUACAAAUAUAGAGCUUUAAUUCUUUUUAUUUAUUUAUUAAGUGGUAUCUUAAUUAAAUUUUUACUAUUUUAACAGUCGAUCGAAUGAAGUUGUUAGUUUAACAAUUAAAUAUAAUAUUAAUAAAUUGAUAUUUUGUUAGACGCUGUGAUGCAAUUGAUCAAUAAUUAAUUACUAGCUUGUUUUCGUUAGGCCUUAUUUAUUCAACCUUAAAUUAUUAAAAAAAAAAAAACUUUGGGCUCUAUAUUCCACCCAAUUUUGUAACUAUAUAACCACAAUUGGGCCGUAGGCCAUAGUUCCAAAUGGGCUCGAUUAUACACGACCCUAACUUGAAAUUAAGCCCAACCAUAUGUUACUAACUUGAAAUGAGUCAAAAAGAGGUGUACAUCCUACACCUUGUCCGUUGGAUGGUGUACAAGUAGUAUUUUUCUACUCUAGUAACUAACGUCCUUGACGCGUUUAGCAUCUUUUGCUAUCCUAUUCAUGGAAAAGUUCCUCCAACCUAAUCUCCGGAUUUUGCUUUUUAAGUCCAAGUGAUCCCAAUUAGAUGCUACAAUUUUCACCAAUCAUCUCAAGGCCUUACUCUCUUAGAUCUCUCUCUCUCUCUCUCUCUCAUGUGUUGCCUUAAAACUUUUAUGCUAAUCUUUUCCCCAACUCCGAAAAAAGCUACUUAAUUAAUGUGACUCCAAAUUAAGAUGCAUCCAAUUCUCAAACGUCAGCAUAAACAGGAGAAGCACCAGCAACCAAACAAAAACCCACCAUUCCUUAAUUUGUCUCCACCUGCUUCUCAUUGUUCUCUUCCUCCCUUGUAUUUAUCUAUGGUUACAAUCCCAGGACCACACUCUCCCUUAAUACCUCUCCUUUUAUUUUAAGCACUAAAAAACAAACAAAGCAUCUAUAAUAAUCUAUAAUUAAAGAGGAUAAUAUAUAUUCAAUAAUGACAAAAAACCAAAACAAUUUGUGUUGAGAGUGGGAUUUGAACCCACGCCCUUUCGGACCAGAACCUUAAUCUGGCGCCUUAGACCAACUCGGCCAUCUCAACUUAUCUAUAUCAUUUCUUCGUACAUUUCUAAUAAUCUAUUUAUCAUACUCUAGUAAAUAGAAAUUCCCCAUGGAUAAGAAUCAAGUUGGGCGUGUUUGGUUCGCUUCUUUUUUACUCUGGAAUCGGAAUCGGAAUGGAUGAAUCCGUUUGUGGGUGUUUGGUACGCGGGAGUCCCAUUCCGAUUCCAAUUCCCGAGUGGAAUGGGAAUCUCCCAAUCACCCCUUUUUUCAAUCCGGCCUGGAGGCCGNCAGGUCUAAUUAGAGUAUACCGAAACAUUCGUCGUUUACAAUUAUAAGGAUACAUCAACGUGGUAUGUUUAUAGAAUCUAAAGAUGAACGAUUGACAUUCUUUUCUUUAAAGUAUAGUUUGCGUAGUGAUGAACCAGUAGCGAUAACGAUACUAAUAAAGUACAGCCAAGAGUAUAACUCAAAUCUUAAGAACAAAGGUAUCAACGCUCGUCAAAACUAGAAACUUCGGAUGCUCCCUACAUCCGAUAAUUGUCACCCCUCGGCGAGUGAAUAAAGGAGGAGAAGAAAAUACGCACUGUUUGGUUCUAAUUAUUUAGUUCGUAAAGUGUUCUCAUCUGGUAAAUUAAUGUAAUCCGAGAAGUCAUACCACUCUUCCUUUAACUCCGUGGAAUCAUAGGUUUUCUCUACUAAAUCAUAAUGUAAACAAAGAAGACUAUACAAUGAUACUUAAAAAAUACAGUGUGUAAAACAUUACAUGAUACAAAAAUUACGUAACGUUAAGAAUAAAACAGGAACUAUAAAUACGUCUUCGUCGCACUCUUAUGUAUGCUUCGAAGCUCCUUCGGCUAAAAUGGUGGUCUAAAACACCUCUUCGUCUCUCGCAUAAAGCGUCUCUAGCUAAGUAAGCUUGACGGCCUCCUCCUCCAGAGCCUCUCACUCGACCUAAUCGGCGCACUUUACUGCUGACACGUGAAGAUAUUGUACGAUCACGCCAUCCUUGAUUAGAAACAUGUCGUGUACAUAGUUUCCAUUGACCCCUAAAACCGGUACUUCCGACAACAUACGCAUGGGGUAACAUUUUAACGGUACAUUGGGAGUUGUAAAAACCUACAUAGGAGGUAGUUAAAGUAAGAUUAGGCACCCCUUAAAGAUAACUAAAUGAAAGGCAAGUCUCCUUAAAGUGACGCACCUCUUUUUAUCUAAUAGUACUUACAUGAACUGGUCCUAUAUCAACUAAGCUGACAUUUACCUCCUACAAAUCACUGAUACAAAUUAAAGCAAAUUUCUUGGUGCAAAUUGCUCUAAGGACAUGGAGGCAACAGAAUAUUCCACAAGCAACAUAAUAUUCUUGUAGAUGAUAGAAUAUUCUGUCGAGUCUAAUAUACUGUAAUAUUAGGCAUUACGGUCAAAAUUGUUGAAACUAAUGUUUCGAUUGUAAAAUACGUAAAGGCUCUGCAUUUUUAACUUAAUACUUCGCAUCCCAGGCUCAUGUAUAACAUAAAAUUAUUGUAUUAUAUUUUGUAGGAUGAUGCAGGGAGGCCGGGGCAACUCCCACGUGCAGCUGGAGCUCCUACCGCCGCCCGCCCGUGAUGUUUCCUUGGUUCCAUGCUUGAUACUGCUACAAGAUCAGUUGCUUUGUCUUUCAACUCCUUCCUGAAUCUUAAAAUUGUUUCGUGAGGGUCAAUUUUGUUCAGAGUUUCAUGUGACAAAAAUUGUGUUACGUACCUGACUCGGCGUAACCCCCAUCGAUGAUGAGAUCUCGCUGAGAUGAGGACGGCGUCGAGGAUGAUGGUCUUUGAUCCGACCCAGAGUAUUGCAGUACCAGGUAAGGAAAAGAGUAAGCUAAGAUGUGGAAGAACUUAAGAGGGAAGAGUUUGAGAAGGAGAAGAAUAAGAGUAGAUAAAAGAGGAGAAUAGAGAAGGAGGAGGAGAUUAAGUCGAGAAGAAAAUCAAUAUCAAUAUCAUUCAUAAUUCCUUCUAGGUUACAUCUGCCUCUUUUAUUAUCUCGUACAUCAUACUAAAAUGAAAAAAAUAUCAACUCCUAGGUAAUAAACUGAAAUUAAGAAAAAAUCAAGAGUGUGGGCCAGUUGGCCUUAAUUUGUAAGGCCGAUGCACUAUGUCGUCAAAACCUGUUUUAUUGCGUUCAUGAUUCUUGAAGAUCUUGUUGGAUAUUUACCGGCUUUCUAAUAUGAUUUCGUCAUCCAUGUAGGAAUGGCUUGUAGAUUGCUGCGGGUGAAAUUUUGGUUAUGGAUGUUGAAACUAGUGAUCAUCUGUCCUUGUGUUUGAUGAUUCUUUGUUAGUUGUAUGAGAAGAUUGUAUUUUGAUCUCACUUGGUGCAUGCUUUUAAAGAGAUCAAGCUUCGUGUGACGCAAGAAAUUUACCAUCAAGGUAACCAGAGCAAACAUAAAAAAUAAAAAUCAUACUUAUCCACAAAUUAAAUAUUCAAGUAAGAAGAAGAUACUUAUACGGAGAGAGAUUGAAGUAUGAGACAUUACUAAUGCAUGAGAUGCAGUGUGAAAAGCAUCUCAAAUUGAAAGCAUCGGUUUAUUUUUAAUUCUGACUUCGUUGAACCGUUCUUUGUCCGGAUUGAAAUAAAAUAAAACCAUAUGGAAACACAAUAUUUAUACAACAACGUGUACGUCAGUAUGUGCAAUUCAACACCAAUAGGGAAAUUAAUUAAGCAUGAAUUAAUUGUUGUUAAUUGCCGUGCUGAUCCAAAACCAUUUUAUCUAUUUCUAUUCAACCCCCAGGAAUCUUUCAACCUGCACCAUAAACGUACAAAAAUAUAUAUUAUGUAUAUUCAUAUGGGCAUGCAUGUUAGCUUAGCUAAUAUCUCCAAAGACGAAGACAAAAAAUAUAUAGGCCCUUCGAUUGAUAAGUAAUUAUUAAACUAAAUUUCUCUAUAUAUGUUGGCACCGAGUCUUUGAUGCAUGCGCUUCAUUGCUUUAAUCUCUCAACACUCCUUCACAUUGCUAUUUCCUGUUGCCUUCUUUCUUUCUUCCUCCGCCCUUCGGUAUGUAUACAAUGGUUUAUUUUUCCUCGAAACAACUUAAUUAUUUUGAGAUUAUUUUUUCUGUUUUCGGGACAGGGUAUUCAAUUAAGUGCAUUUAGUUGCAUGCGCGCAUAAGCUAGCAUAUUUUUGUUUAAUUCAUUUGCCAUACAUAAAUAUGCUUUACUCUUGAGUUUAAUGGGAACUUGCAUACAUACGUAUACCAAUGAAUGAAUAGUACAUGCAUGCAUGGCAUGUUCCUUUUCUCAAAUGUCAAGUAAUUAAAUGCGUAUAAGGGUGAAAACAAUAAAAAUGUUCGGUUUAUGAUCAAUUGUUCGUAGAAAAUAAAAGAUUCAGAGACUAAGGAUUUGAUGCACUUUGAUUGCUACUGUUUCCUCUAUUUGUCACCUUCUAAGCUUUUUGUCAUUAAAUCAAGUAUCUAAUUUUUAUGUUUUAUCACUUUCAUUUAUUCUUCAAAACAUCAGAGAAUUGUGGAAUAAAGAAUGUUGGUACGUAGCCUCGACCCGCAAAUUAUUCAGUCUAUUUUGUGAUGGACAGUGUUUAAUUAUUACAAAUUUAUAUGUGAAUAGUUUCAUAGCUAAUUUAUUAAAGAGUAAAUGAUUGAUAUAUCGAAAUGGAUCUUGACCUAAUAAGUUUAAGCAUUUAAGGCUAGAUGAGUUAUAUCAAAUAUGCCAUAUUCUUCAAUCUAUAUAUAUUCUUGGAUCCAUGUAGACUUAGGAGAUAUUUUGGCAGUUUUAGAUUACUCGCUUAAGUGGUGUGGUUGAAUCGAGUUACUAGCUCACACGAACAUGACGGACUAAUGGAAAGAGGUCAAUUUAUAUAAUGCGAUAUGACGGCUUAAUGCAAUCAAAAUAGUUGGAUCAACAAAUUAAGCAUGUGUUAGGCAUAUAAGCUCUCGAGAGGCGUAGGUUCGAUACAUCGGCUUGGACGAUCACUGGAUUUGCAUUAGGUCAAAAGUCAUUAAUGGCAUGGCGUGCGUAAAGAGUAUUGACUUAGUGCAAUGUUUGAGGACAUUGUUAAAAUUUUGUACAUAAUCAGUCUCGCAUCAAAUAACUAAUAUAAAACGUAAAUAAUCUAUAUAUACAUACCAGUGAGCUCAAAGCUAAUUAUAAACCUAAACUUUUUGGUUGAAUAUGCAUGAAUGUGUUCUGCAAAAUUUGUCACAUUCUUAGAUCUACUGGACUUGAGCUAGGGACCUCUUUUUACAUGGCCUGAUUAAUAUUGCUGGAAAAGCGUCUUUGUUGAAGAUAAUUAUCGCGCAAAGGUACUGGGAAUUGCAUCGUGGCGAUGCCAAUCAAUUGAUCAUCUUAAUUAUGAGCGUAAUGCAUUGUCAUGAAAAUUUAUAAUCAUAUUGACCUACCAAUAAACUAAAAUCAAAUUGUUGCAGUCACAAAAGAUAAUCUCUAUACUUGGCAAAUUAUAGACAGCUAGUUUAAAUUCUUAAGAAAAUGCUAUUCUUACAAACUACUUCUACAACAAUCUAUAAUUUAAAAUUUAGUAGUUAGGUUUUAUAUAUUCUUUGUCUUAGGAACUACAACAAUCACCUCAUGAAUGGUACCAUUUUGCCAAUUAAAAAGGGCUACAUAAUUAAGCAAAUAUAUUAAAAAUUAUAAAAUUUAGGAGUAAACUUCAAAUACUACUCCUAUAGUUUCGCACUUUCUCACUUUACUACUCUAUGGUUUAAAGUGUACCAAUUUAGUGUUCUGUGAUUUCAUUUUUUUCUUUUCGUCAGUUUCUUUGUUAAUAUUUUGUUAAAUUAUAUACAAAAAACUUCAGAUACCCAUAUAGAUUUAUCAAAUAUUCACUUUAAUACUCUUUAGUUUUAACUUUAUUACUGAUUUAAGAAAAAAAAAAUAAUAAAAUUGAUAAUAAAAAGAGAAAAUAAAAUCACAGGGUACUAAAUUAAUACACUUUAAACCAUAGAAUAGUAAAGUAAAAAAGUGUGAACCUAUAGAGUGAUAUUUAAAGUUUUUCCUAAAAUUUAUCUGUAAGUAGAGCGUUACUCAAAUUCUUAGGAGCUGGCCGAUAUAUGGGCUGAAGAGCGUUACGAUCCGGACCGUAUUCACAGUUCAAGAACAUGUAGAGUGCAGUUUCGGAGUCCACGAACCUACGGCCCAUUAGAGACAAACUGGAAGGCCCAUUUAUGGAGGAUUAGGCUGGGCUUAUGGGGCCGAGCUUCUCCACCAGAAGGUCUACAACCCAAAUUAAUGGGCCUAAUGUUUGUAGUGGGUUGGAUCGACCACGUACAUCCAAACCAGAAACCAAAUCUAUAUAAUUAGCCCAGGCAUACGUGCCCUCGUUUUCACCAUGCAUGCAAAUUAGCUUAAAGAGCAACAAUAUGCAUGCAUGCCCUAGCUAGCUAGAAGUUGAGUUGAUCAACCUACGUGUCAAACGUGCUUGAUGGGUGAGAGACUCUCUCUCUCUCUCUCUCUCUCUCUCUCUCACAGAGACACACACACGCUCUUCUCUAGAGAGAGAGAGAGAGAUCUCACACGCACCGGCUUCUCUCUCUCUCAUUCGCACACACUUCUCAAGAGAGAGAGAGAGAGAGGUCACACACACCCACCCACCCACCUCUCUGUGUACCUCACAAACACACACAUAGACUUGGCAAACGGGCGGGUUGGGUAAUCUGCGGGCGGGUUAUUGUACCCGCGGGUUACUUGGGCAUGGAUAAAAUUUAUCAGCAAAUUUUUGGGUAGCCAACAUCUUUAUCCAUACCCACCUGCGGGUGGGUGGCUGGGUAUGCGGGUUACCCAUAAUUUUUAUUUUAUUUUUUGCUCUUAUAUUUUUUAAAUGCAAAACACAAAUAUAUAAAUUUUAAAAGUGUAAUAUAAUUUAUUAUUUAAAAUAUCAUAACAUACAAUAAAAAUAUUUAAAGUCUUAAAGUAAAAAUAUUUCAUAAUAUAAAAGACACGCAAUGAGAAAUUAGGAUUAGAAUUUUUAUGAUGGAUAAAUAAAAAAAAAUAUUAAUUAAGAAAAUAUAUUUGUAAUUAAAAAAUAUGUGUGGGUACCUGUGGGUACCCGCGGGUUAUCCAAAAUACUCAUAGCUUAAUAGGUACCCAUCCGUUUUACCCGUAAUUUUUUGGGUUGGAAAAAUUAGUAUCCAUACCCGCAAAUUUGUGGGUAACCCGUGGGCACCCGCGGGUUUGGGUCGAAAUUGCCAGGUCUACACACAUACACACACUUCUCUCUAUAGAGAAGAGAGAGAUCUCUCACAUACCCGCUUCUCUCUCUCUCUCUCUCAUACGAACACACUUCUCUAGAGAGAGAGAGAGAGAGAGAGAGACUCACACAUACACACCCAACCACUUCUCUCUCUACCUUACACACACUUCUUUCUAUAGAGAAGAGAGAGAUCUCUCACAUACCCGCUUCUCUCUCUCUCUCUCUCUCAUACGAAUACACUUCUCUAGAGAGAGAGAGAGAGAGAGAGAGGUUCACACAUACACACCCAACCACUUCUCUCUCUACCUUACACACACCUCUCUCUAUAGAGAAGAGAGAGAUCUCUCAGAUACCCGCUUCUCUCUCUCUCUCUCUCUCUCUCUCUCUCUCUCUCUCUCUCUCAUACACACACACACUUCUCUAGAGAAAGAGAGGCUCACACACACACCCACCCACCUCUCUCUCCCUCACACACACACACGCACACACACUUCUCUAGACAGAUAGAUCAAUAGAGAGAGAGAGAGAGAGAGGUGGGUGUGAGAUCUCUCUCUCUCUCUCUCUCUCUCUCUCAAGGAGAUUAAGUUGGUUGGUUUCUAAAUAGACACAAAAUUGACUCAUGCCCUAUCCUUUGUUCAAAAGAGAAGAACACUGCUACGCUUAAUUAUCUCAAGUUCCCUUAGAUAUGGAAACGGCACAAUCAGUUAAUUAGCUAGUGCUUUUUUGGUAUAACUUUUUAAAUAUUAAUUAAUCUUAUUCAACCACGGCGGUUUCUUACCUCAUCGAUAUAAUAGAGGGAAGCCUUCUAGGGCAUGCACAAUCUAAAAAUGUUACUCAUUCUCAAUUAAUCAUUAAUUAAUUAGAAGCUACUUGGUCAACACAAAUGCAUUGUCAUCAAACACAAAUAAUAAGAAAGCAAAGGACAAGAACUGUAAUCAAUAUUCAGUAAUAUUAAUUACUGUAAAAGACAAUGUAGUCAAGUUACAGAAUCCUGCAAACGACUUAGAAAUUACCACAUUCAUUUUUUGACCCAUAAAUUUGUACAGAGCCCCACCACAACCAGGAUUACAAGACACUAACUAUACAACAACAAAGCCAAUGUCCUCCUAAAACCUUUCGGAAAACAAAGCCAGUAUUGAUCGAUCGCCUAUUAUAUGUGGAGACAGAUAAAAUAGACCAAAACAACAUUAACGAUGACAACAACAACAACAUCUCUAGCAAUCUUUCAUAAAAACUCUCAGCAAGGUCCCCCAUAGACAACGUUUUGGAGGUAAAUAAUCACAGUAAUUAUGUGUAGCCCAAAACCGAGAUUAACUUCCAUUCAUUUGGUUAUGAUUGAAGCGAUAAAUUGAAGUUGAUAGAAGUUCACUUCUAUCUGAAAAUACGAUUUUUAUGUUAUGUCUACUUAAUCACCCCAACCAAACGUUCCGUUGGCUAAGAUAGCACGAUGAAGAGCAUCACCGCCCCCGCCAUGAUCAUAACUAUUUGCAGCAGCAAACUAACAGAGUAAAAGAUUUCAACGAUCGAAGCCCACAUUUCGCCGUGCUGCGGUUCAAACAUGAGGCCUAUCCAGAUCAGGCCAGAUUCGAUGGCCAAGAGCUGAAAGAAUGCGCAGACCCUUAUCCCUAAACUCAUGUGGUCUUGCUGUGGUGCGAUCCCCACACUUGCCACGCAUAUGGCUGCUAGUAGGCCACCAUUGAACGAGACCAGCGUUGCAAUGCCGUACCUCAUCACACCCGCAUAGCGUGGGUCAUGGUAUAAGGGUCGAGCACUAGUUGGAUCUCUCAGGCUGAUACCAAUAUCCUGGGUGAAGUAUACACAGAUAGGGACGAGCACCAGCAAGAACACGCCUACGACCAAAGUUUCCAAGAACUGCAUGGCAAGCGCAGCGGCUGAUAGCCCGAGGAGGACCAAAAUAGCAGCGCUGCUGUAUCUCACAAAGCUUAAAAGGCUCCCUCUCCAAAAGGAGUAAUGAACAGUUAAGGGGAUGGAGGUGACCAUCAUAACAAAGAUGCCAACCAUGGUGAUCAGGAAGAAGAGACAUAGCGCAAGUUGGAAACUUUGCAAUGCUUGGAGAGGAGGGCUUUUGAAGGAAGCAUAAAUCAUACCCGUUUGUACGGUGAUGGCCAUUGUUGCAAUAGUAGUAGCGAACUUGAAGGCCUUCUUCUGCUCCGGUUUGUAGCUGUUGAAGAUGUGCAGCAUGCAUGUUAAUUGAAAACACCGUUAACCCUAAGCUUUUAGAGGCUGCCAUCACCCCUCAAAAAUGAUCUAAGUAUUAGAUUAGCCGAUUCCGUUAUCUAUUAGUAAGUUUACCGAUGAAAAAAUGACCUAAGCUCAUGUAUGUUUCAAAUUAAAGAGCAAAUUACAGCUUAGUUUUUACAUGAACAUAUAGUUCUUCAACUUUUCAAAGCAAAAUUAUUUCCAGCAGUCAAUACUUUUUUAACAAAUAGAAUUAGAGGAACAUAUUACUGCCAGGUUUUUUUGUAAAAAAAAAACACUAAAUUUAGUACCCGAGUUGACAUGCGAUAAACGCACAAGCUAAUAAUUUGAUACAUUUAUAAGAAGUUCAUGAGAUACUAAUUCAGUUCACCUGAGAAGAGUAAGAGUAAAAGUAAAAAAAGUUUUAGGCUAACAGUACUAUCGAAACUUAUAACAACACAUUAUGUACCUUUCAUGGUUAACACUGUCGCGGUCGUGAACAUUUUGUGUAGCUCUAUAUCCAAGGAAGCAUAUGAUAGCUAUGACAGGAAUUACAAUAAGACUCAUCCCUGCACUGUCUUUGUUCAGGAGUACUAAGGAGAAAAAGCUUGUCACAAUUAAAAGAACAGAAGAUAUGGUAAUCGCGCUAAUCAGAUAUAUCUUCUGGUUUCGGUUGAUUCGAUUAUAACGUCCGAACAGAAAAAAGGCAUACAUCAACAACAAGAUGGGGCAUUGAAGAGUGGGCCAGAUGAAGAAAUUGUAGGCUUUGAUAACUGUGGAGGAAUAUUGCAUGGCUCUUAUAUCUUUAGCUCCAUUUAAAAAUGCUAAGAGUAUUGCAGAAGCCAUGGUUAUUAUCGCAACUGAGAAAAAUAUGAUUCGUUUCAACUGGUCCCUAACAACUUUAGUUUGCUGUUCAUUUUCUCCUUCAUUUCCUGAUUCCAGUUGGUUUAUCUGCAGUUAGGUUAAACAAGUAGUAAGUGUUUUGUAUGUGCAUACAUAUGUAUGUAUGAUUAAUUGGUUAGGCCACAGCAAAUUAACAAACAUAUUUAGAAGCUAGAGAAGAAGAGAGCUUCAUUUUAUAUAUAUAUAUAUCUUAGGCACCAUGAGAUAAUUCAUUAACCAAAAAAUUUACUAUUGGCAGGGUCAAAAGUUUUAUGGUGAAAAUAAAGAUGACAAUUCGAGACAUAUAAAACUUAUAGAUGCAUCACGGGCAUAUAAUUUUUACUACAAGAUGCAAAGAUUAUCAUAUCACAAGUUUAUAAACUCACAUCCAUGUAUACAUCUCAUCAUGUCUGUCGUUAAGAUGACAAAUCAACAUUAACCCACCAGUGUAGUCAGCUUAGUUUUUGAUUGGUCUUGUUUCAUGAAAAAAAAAAAAAAAAAAAACUUGGAAAUACUUGGGUUGGUAUGUUGCAGCUACUAUAUAUGGUAGGGUAUAUAGUUCUAAGUAAUACCACGAUAUGGUACCAUAAGAACCAAUAAGAAUAGUUAAUUACGAAUUCAUUGUUAAUAUUCAAUGAACCUGCAGUGAUGAUGCAUAGGAAACAAUAAUCUGAUCCAGAUAUAAUUAAACAGGCCAAUUAAUUUGGAAAAUCUUUUAGUCGAAAUCCAUUGGAUUUGCAUGUGGUGAACUCGGUAUCGGAUUUGGCCAUAAGAGAGAACGAGAAAUUAAGCGCGAAAUACUAAAGAAAAGAGAAGAAGUACAUGUGUUAUGAGGUCGAGAAGAUCUUUUGUGAAGGGUUUAAUAAGCUAAAAACGAUACACAAAAGAGAGAGAGAGAGAGAGAGAGAGAGAGAGAGAGAGAGAGGCGCCAUGAAUAUCUCUAACUACCGAAAAACCUUACCUUUUCAAAAAAAAACAUCUGUACUCAUUACUUGAUUUUGGAAAGAAUUUUUUUUUCUUUUUCUUUUUCUUUUGAUGAAAUGAAAGCAAUCAUCUGAUGUGGAGCUUUUAUAAGUUCAAAAAAAAAAAAAAAAAAAAAACUAAAAACUAAAAACCCUAAAAAACCUGCAAGCAAACAAAUAGCUGAUAAAAGAGAAAUAGGAUGAAACAUUUGAUGAAAUGAAACAGCAGCUGCAGGAGCAGAAGAACAAGACCUGCAGAGUAACUGAAUGAGAUUCCUGAGACAUUUUUGGUGAAUUGAAGAGAGAUCGGCCUUUUGAUUAUAUGCGAAUACGCAAACUAAAGGUAAAAAGCUCCUCCUCCUCUUCUUUUCCUCUUCUUCUUCCUCUUCUUUUUCUUCUUCUUCUUCUUCUUCGGAUUAUUUAUGUUGGUCAUUCCACCUAAUGCCCCACAUGAGGGGAAAAAAAAAA
RNAcentral lists this long non-coding RNA (74782 nucleotides) under Ananas comosus (pineapple). RNAcentral's name for it is "long non-coding RNA (ACOM_LNC018970)". The stretch from base 48481 to 48583 matches the Rfam family "Small nucleolar RNA snoR99". Lineage: Eukaryota; Viridiplantae; Streptophyta; Magnoliopsida; Poales; Bromeliaceae. The record is from RNAcentral.